RNAcentral lists this long non-coding RNA (45702 nucleotides) under Arabidopsis thaliana (thale cress). Its description in RNAcentral is "long non-coding RNA (ATHA_LNC000268)". Lineage: Eukaryota; Viridiplantae; Streptophyta; Magnoliopsida; Brassicales; Brassicaceae. The record is from RNAcentral.
ACACUAAGACCCAACGGAAGAUUACCGGCAAGCUUCGCAACUUCAAAUGCUAGUUCCUUAAAAUCAUCAGGUGGAGAGUCUUUCCCAAAAGCAGAUCGGCAUAACAUCGUAAGAGCAAGAUGUUCAGAUGGGAACUCCACCUCAUAUAUAAGGUCAAUCUCAUGAGCCUUGAGAAGUUGCCUAUCUUGAGUGAUCACAAUUAUUCUGCUUCCAGAUCCAAACCAUUCAGCUUUUCCCACCAAGGUCUUAAGAAACUCUAGACUAUCCACAUCAUCAAGAAGGAUAAGAACUUUCUGUUGCUUUAACCUUUGCUCCACCACACCAAAAUGCUCUAUCUUUAUGUCCUUUUGACCUAAGAUUUCCGAGAGAAGUUCUUUUUCCCACCUCAACUUCAUGCCAGAGACGUCACUACCGCUGGUGCUUUUAUAUGUUAUGAAAGCGCGAUGGUGGAACUGGAUAGAGAGUUUACUGUAAAGAGCUCUUCCUAUGGUACUCUUACCAAUCCCUGAUUGUCCCCAAAUCCCGACCAUUAUUCUAGCUUCCUUGGAUUCCAAGCACAAUACUGAUUUUAUUGCCUCUAUAUGAUUUUCAAUUCCGACUAAGUCGCCAAAAUCAUCCGAUGGUGUCAUAGUUUUUCUCAAAACAUCCUCGGCAAGCUCUUCAAUCAUGGCUGCUUCACUAGGCCUAAUAACAAUAGUCAACUGUUUCAUUAAAGAAGCAACGCAAAACAAAAAAAUCACGAAGUCUAUUCAUUGAAAUACCAUUUCCGAAGAUCAUAUCCGGCCAUAACUGCAACAGCUGCUAGAGCUUGCUUCCAACUUUGUUUCUCAUCCUCUGAUUUAGCCUUGCAUGUCUCUUCAAAGACCUUUCCAAAUUCGCCGGUCUGUUUUUUAACUUCCGAAGCAUCAACGUGGAAGAAAAUCGGAAUCACCAUUUGAUUCAAAUUCGUAUAACACUUGUGAAUCUCCACCAAUUCAUUCAGGCACCAGGUGGAUGAAGCAUAGUUCUUAGAGAAGAUAACGAUUGCUAUUCUCGAUUCUUUUAUUGCCGAUAAAAGCUCCGGGCCGAUUGAGCGGCUCCUCUCGAUCUCAUCAUCUAUGAAUGUGAUUGCUUUGCCCCUGAGCUCCUUGAGAAGAUGGCUGAGGAAUGAGUCACGGACAUCUUCUCCACGAAAGCUUGGGAAAACGUCGUAUCUCCGGCUGCCAGAAGAAGAAGCUAUCUCCAUAUCAUCAUCUUUGGAUGUAUCCAUCAUUUCACGGUCGAGCUCGAGCUCCUUGACAAGAUGGCCACGAAACAAUUUGCCGAAAUUUUCUCCACUGAAGCUCGCGAAAACAUUGUAUAUCCAUCUGAGAACAUUGUAUAUCUAUCUGAAGCAAGAAGACGCCAUGGCAGAGGAUGAGAGAGAAGAGACGAAAUUUCUCAAAGGAAAACUCUUUGAAGUAUAUCAAUAAUACAACACAGUAACAGAGAGGAGAAACUUGGUCUUCCUUUCCUCGAAGACUUGUAUAGAAGACUUACUAUACAAGAUAUUGUUUUAGUGGUUAAAAUCAAAUCCCAUUACAAGACAAUUGGGACAAAUAAUACGUAAACUUGGUCUUCCUUUCUUAGAAGACUUGCAUAGAAGACUUACUGUACAAGAUAUUUUUUUAGUGGUUGAAAAAUCAAAUCCCUAACAAGAUAAGGCCAUAAUUAUGUGAUACAGAAACUUCCCCUUCCUUUCCUUGGAAAGCUUCUACUCUAUAACGAUAAGUCAAUUUUGUGGCUAUCAGUCGUCACUGAAUUUAUCUAUGAUGAUGAGACGUAGCCAUUCUACAAGAUUUCAAGAUAAUUUCUAGGCAAAAUAGACAGAAACUUCCUCGAGAGCUACUUUUCCUCUCCACAGAUAUUUUUGAAGACCCAAAAUUUUGUGGCUGUCAGUGGUUCAAGACAGAAACAAGAUUUCAAUUUAUUUUAACAAUGUUAAGGUUCACUAAUAUCAAAAGUCUGGUUUUCCUAUUCAUACUGUACAUACAUGCAUGGAAAUUAGGAGAAUAAUUAGUAUAUCGAUUAUGAGGAUUAUAAUUCAACUAAUAAUACAGUGAAAACACUAACAACAAACUAUCUAGUUUUCUAGAGCUGUGUGGUGUGGACAGUGGAGAGAAUAUUUUCAUGUAAAGUUUUCUUGUUUACAUUUACAAUUGUAAUAUUAGUUUAGAGUUUUGGCUUACUGUGUCAGCAACCACUGUAGGCUGCGAUUGCAUUUGCUGCCGUUUAAGGAGCAUUUGGUUUCUAAGGGUAGGUUUCAUGUACUGGAUGGAAGAAGUCGUGCUUGAGAGCAUCCUCUGCACUGAUUCGCCGUCUCGGGUUAACGGUCAAACAUCUAUCAACGAGGUCAAGGAGCGACCAUGGAAUUGCAUCUAGAAACUCCAUGCGUUUUGGGUUGAGUUCGUACCAUUUUCUCAACUCCAUCCCUUUCAAGUACCUUGACUUGUACAAUUCCUGAAACAACAACACAAAAAUCAACCUGAACUCAUCUCUCACGAUCAUCUAUCUAAUAAUUUUGUCGGUAAUUUACAUUUUUAAGAUAUAUAAUGUUUUGGAACACAAAAUGCUAACAAUGAAAACCCUUUUGUGAUAUUUGAAUCCAAAUGCUGGCGGCAAAGAAGAACAGAACAUGUAUGUUAUGUUCACACCAAUGCAGUAAUCAAAUGAAUGGAGAGUUUACAAGGGAUGAAAGAUGAGAUUUUACCUCAUGUAAAGAGGAUUCACGGUUGUGCAGCUUGGCUACUUCCCAUAAUUCUUCACUGCCUCGUAGUUGCGCAAUGUCCUUUAUGUUCCUGGGAAUGACAAGGUCGUUGUAAGACGGCAAGAAAGAAGAAAAAAGUGGAACCGAGUGAUGGUGUAUUCAGUCAAGUCAGAUCUUAACUGUUCAGGGUCACCAGUGAGAGCUUUCCUUCCCAUUAUGAGGUAUAACAAAGUAACUCCCGCAGAACACACGUCUUUUUUUAGGUCCUUGGUCCAAAGACCAUUCAGCCGAGAACAGCCCUAGAGAAUUAGCUUUUCCAUCCCAUCCUAGAUGUGUUAAUGAGUAGCUCAGGGAACAAGAUAUUUUCAUAUGGAUUUAACUAGUAUCAAGGGAAGUGAUAUAUCUGCAGGAAAAAUGGCUUGUGUCAAAACAUAUGAAAUCGUCUUGCCAUUAUCAUUAUAGUCAUGCUCGGUCCCAAGUUAUCCUAAAACAGAGGAAAACCGAAUAAUAAGAUGCUUCAGUUACCAGAACCAGAAUUCAAGAUAGGAAUUUCUUCAUCUUGUUGUUCACUUAUCAUGGAAUCAACACACAAAGAUUCCCCCUCCAGAGAUGGAUAAGAAGAAACUGAUGAUGCUUCUCCCUGCCCUAACGAAAGCUCCAUAUUUAGAGCGGUCAAGCUUGUGUCCGCUACAAUUUGGACACAGGGUAAGUUGAUAUAUUCUUCAGAUGUUCCCGAUGUCAUCUGCAUCGUAAACCAAAGGAUCGAUUCUGUUAAAUAGUCUGUCACUAAGGUAUUGAUCCUGGAAAAUAUAAUAAAACAUCAAGAGAUAGCUUUGCAAUUUUCAGUUCUAAUUAUGUCAAAAGGCUUACCCGCAUCCGCUUAUUGCUUCUCGCAGUCUCUACAACAUCACAUUUUUCUCGAGACUGUUGGCUGUACUCUGUUUCAGAGCUUCCAUCACUAUCAUCUGGAAAUGGAGACACAUUCAAGAGUCGUAUACCACAUUCUUUUAUCCUCUUGGAGCAAGAAAAGUUAAACUCCACAUCGUUGAAAGUCAAUUUAGAUGGAAGAUCUUCAGGCUGGAAGUUGAAGGAACAGAAAACCAGAUGAUCCGUCUUACACAACCGCAGGUCUGCAUCUUUAAAAAAUGAUUUGCAAUACAGUGUCCCAUUGAAGCCAGCAUUUACCUCACAAUAUGGACCCCAACUCUUGCCCUCAGUUAGAAGGUCAACCACGAUGCAAGCCUUAAAGCAAGAAUACUUGAGAAAGAGAGCUCUAAGGUAAAGUGACAGUUAGGGAAUCUCCAUAAGCUCGAUGUUGAAAAUACGUUGGCACUUCUCCACCUGGUAAGGACAUAGGCUUGAACAAUGACCGUAAGAUGAGUUCUCGCGCAUCUCCAUCCAAUUUGCAGCAGUUCUGGAAGAGAUAAUGAAAGGCCCCGAUCCGGACUACCUAAGUCCGGACGAGAUCUCUCGACCCAAGUCACUAAGUGACUCGACCCAAGUCACUAAGUGACUCGACCCUAACCAUUUAUGAGGUUCAUUCCCUAGUGUAAUCCGUUUCAUACAAUUCUGUGAUUCAAUAUAUGAGACGAAUAGAGUAAACAAACAAUCGGAUACUUUAUUAAUUAAGUAAAGGAUUCGAUACAACUUAUGAGUUUGCAUAUAAGCUAUUACAAGUAAUUUAAUCGAUCCCUAGACUAUCCGAAACUAUCACCACCCAUCAUUCCGGCCUUGAGUCUCUCGCGCCUAAGCCAAGUCCUUCCCACUAUCACCAUUGGUUCCUGAAAGUCAUAGAGCCAUAAGUAAUUUCAUUUACUUAGUCAUAUGCAAGUCCAUGCAAUGCUCCAUAGUCCUUACACUACUCGGAUCCGCGGAGAGGAUUCGGAGAAGGGAAGAUCGCGCAUAAGUCCGGCCGAUUCUCGGUAGGUCAAUUAAGACCCGCCGGUCCUCCGCCGAGCCGCGUCUCCGCCCCAGCCGAUCCCUUGCCCGGACCGAGGCUUGUGUAGGUUGCACAUGACCCGAUUCUACCCAGCCCAUUAGUCGUUCCUUUCAAGGAAUCCCGACUCAUUUAACGCAUUCUAGAAUCCUUAGACUCGAGGUCUAGGAUUCCUUACCUUCCUUCACGAUGUUCGGUCGAUCCGACCCUUCUUCUUCCUUGCCGGCCACAGUCCGCCUACCGAUUUCCUCCGAUGAUUUAUUCUCCCGAAAGGGAGAGAGUUUAAUGGUGAGUUUCCGGUAUUUUCCGUGUGUUCUGCUGCCUCUAAAGGUCUUGGGCGCCCUCCCUUAUAUAAGGAGCGAAUUGAUGCUUCCCGAAGGAUCACCUCCGUUCCUUGCACCUUUCCGAAGAGUUGCAUCUCUCGGUCCGUAACUGCUCGCCCUUAUCCACCCUUUGGGCGAGCACCCGUUCGACCGUAACCGCCCAAGUAACCGUCCGGGUAACCGCCCAGCUGGUCAGACAGUCGACCAGCUGCCUCGAGCUCAACCGUCACUCGCCCAGCUGCUCGAGCUGGACUGUCACUCAACCCGAGUAACCGUCACUCCUUCCAGCUGAGCUUGAGCUUCGGACGAGCUGACCCAGCUGAUUCCUUUACGAUCCUAGCUUAGCCCGCAUGAUUUCCCUUUGUCCGAGCUUAUGGCCAACUCCUUCCCACUUGUCCGAGACUCCACCUUCUUUUCUCGGACCAAGUCCCAGCCAACGAUCCUAUUGAGGAUCGCGGGCGUUACAAGUCUCCCCUUUGAAUUGGAUUCGACAAAUCGAAUCCAAGUUGAUCUUUACCCAUCUCCUUGAACCACUCCGGAAAAUUGGCCUUCAUCUUAGUCUCGGUUUCCCAAGUGUAUUCUUCACGGCCUCCACAAUUCCACAAGAUUUUUAACAAAUCCAUUGAUUUCCCCCGAGUCCCUUUCUUCAUUUGGUCCAUGAUCCGUACCGGCCAUGCUUCCACCGUCAUGUUCUCCUUUAACCCAGGAGGUACAUCUUCCAUGCUUUCUUCUUGUUCACUUAAGCACUUCCGUAGUUGUGAUACAUGAAAGACAUUGUGAAACGCGUCUAGUUUUGGAGGAAGGUCAAGUUUGUAUGCCACCGCCCCUACUCGUUCGAUCACUUUGUACGGGCCAACGUACCUUGGCCUUAACUUUUUCCUUGAUGUGAAUCGCCCUGCCCCUUUGUAGGUCAUCGCCUUUAAAUACACCAAGUCUCCCACUUGGAAUUCUAAUUCCUUUCGACGCUUGUUGGCGUAACUUUUCUGACGAUCUUGGGCUUCCUUUAACUUGAUUUUUAAGAACUUCAUUUUCUUCGUGGUUUCAUCCACGACCGCAGGUCCGAACAACCGACGUUCGCCCACUGGCGUCCAACACAACGGUGUUCUACCAGCUCGGCCAUACAACGCCUCAUAGGGAGACAUACCAAUACUAGCUUGAAAACUGUUAUUGUACGCAAAUUCUACUAACCUUAGAUAUUUCUCCCAGUUUCCUCCCCAAUCCAAGACGCAUGCCCUCAACAUGUCCUCGAGGGUUUGAAUCGUUCGUUCGGACUGUCCGUCCGUCUGUGGGUGAUAUGCAGUACUUAGAUUCACUCGAGUCCCUAAGACCUUUUGAAAAGGCUUCCAAAAUUUUGACGUGAACCUUGUGUCUCGGUCCGACACUAUACUAACCGGAAUCCCAUGUAAUCGCACGAUCUCGUCUAUGUACUUCUCGGCAAUGAUUUCGGCUGCAUCCUUAUCCGAGAUUGCCAUGAAGUGCGCAGACUUAGUCAAUCGGUCUACUACAACCCAUACCGCAUUGUGUUUGGACUUGAUCCCCGUCGGCAGUCCCGUGACGAAGUCCAUCAUUAUAUGGUCCCACUUCCAUUCCGGUAUAGGUAGGUUUUGUAACAUUCCACUUGGUACUUGAUGCUCUUCCUUGGCUACCCACCUGGCCACAUCUUUCUUCAUUCCUACCCAAUGGUAGUAUCUUUUAAGGUCGCGAUACAUCUUGUUCGACCCAGGAUGGAUCGAGAACUUCGAUUGAUGCGCUUCUUUUAGGAUUUCCUCCUUCAACGCCUUAUCGUUCGGCCCACAUACUCGACCGUUCACCACGAUAGUACCAUUGUUCGAGCUUUGGUACUCGGUUUUAUUGUUUUGUGCCCACCCUUUUAUUUCUUCAUCUCGUUCUUGAGCCGACCGGAUCCUACUAAGUAGGUCGGCUUGAUUGGCGGCUCUCAACCCUAAGGGUUCAACUUCCUUAGACAAAGCAUUCAAAUGCAAUGUCCCCAUCAUGUUAACCAAAUUCACUUGGUUCCUUUCCGCUUCCACUACCGUGCGCAGCCUGCUCAAAGCAUCUACAACUUGGUUGGCCUUGCCCGGAUGGUACGCUAUGUUCAAGUCGUAAUCCGCCACAAGUUUUAUCCACCUUCUUUGCCUUAGAUUUAACUCCGGCUGGGUGAAUAUGUAUUUUAGGCUCUUGUGGUCAGUAAAGAUUUGAACCUUGGCACCAUACAAAUAUGAUCGCCAAAUCUUCAACGCAAAUACUACCGCGGCCAUUUCCAAAUCAUUCGUAGGGUAGUUCUUCUCGUGUUUCCGCAAUUGCCUCGAGGCGUAUGCGAUAACACUCCCCUUUUGGAUCAAUACGCAUCCUAGUCCUACUAUGGAUGCGUCCGUGUAGACCGUAUAGGGCUCACCUUCCUCCGGUAAGACCAACACCGGUGCAUUAGUCAACAUGGCCUUUAACUCCAGGAAGCUUCUCUCGCAUUCCUCCGACCAGUUGAAUGCGGUGUCUUUUCCGGUCAAUUGAGUCAUGGGUUGGGCCAUGCUCGCAAAUCUCUCGACCCAAGUCACUAAGUGAAUGGACCCUAACCAUUUAUGAGGUUCAUUCCCUAGUGUAAUCCGUUUCAUACGAUUCUGUGAUUCAAUAUAUGAGACGAAUAGAGUAAACAAACAAUCAGAUACUUUAUUAAUUAAGUAAAGGAUUCGAUACAACUUAUGAGUUUGCAUAUAAGCUAUUACAAGUAAUAUAAUUGAUCCCUAGACUAUCCGAAACUAUCACCACCCAUCAUCCCGGCCUUGAGUCUCUCGCGCCUAAGCCAAGUCCUUCCCACGAUCACCAUUGGUUCCUGAAAGUCAUAGAGCCAUAAGUAAUCUCAUUUACUUAGUCAUAUGCAAGUCCAUGCAAUGCUCCAUAGUCCUUACACUACUCGGAUCCGCGGAGAGGAUUUGGAGAGGGGAAGAUCGCGCAUAAGUCCAGCCGAUUCUCGGUAGGUCAAUUAAGACCCUCCGGUCCUCCACCGAGCCGCGUCCCCGCCCUAGCCGAUCCCUUGCCCGGACUGAGUCUUGUGUAGGUUGCACAUGACCCGAUUCUACCCAGCCCAUUAGUCGUUCCUUUCAAGGAAUCUCGACUCAAUUAACGUAUUCUAGAAUCCUUAGACUCGAGGUCUAGGUUUCCCUUACCUUCCUUCACGAUGUUCGGUCGAUCCGACCCUUCUUCUUCCUUGCCGGUCACAGUCCGACUACCGAUUUCCUCCGACGAUUUAUUCUCCCGAAAGGACGAGAGUUUAAUAGUGAGUUUCCGGUAUUUUCUGUGUGUUCUGGUGCCUCUAAAGGUCUUGGGCACCCUCCCUUAUAUAAGGGGCGAAUUGAUGCUUCCCGAAGGAUCACCUCCGUUCCUUGCACCUUUCCGAAGAGUUGCAUCUCUCGGUCCGUAACUGCUCGCCCUUAUCCACCCUUUGGGCGAGCACCCGUUCGACCGUAACCGCCCAAGUAACCGUCCGGGUAACCGCCCAGCUGGUCAGACAGUCGACCAGCUGCCUCGAGCUCAACCGUCACUCGCCCAGCUGCUCGAGGUGGACUGUCACUCAACCCGAGUAACCGUCACCCCUUCCAGCUGAGCUUGAGCUUCGGACGAGCUGACCCAGCUGAUUCCUUUACGAUCCUAGCUUAGCCCGCAUGAUUUCCCUUUGUCCGAGCUUAUGGCCAACUCCUUCCCACUUGUCCGAGACUCCACCUUCUUUUCUCAGACCAAGUCCCAGCCAACAAUCCUAUUGAGGAUCGCGGGCGUUACAGAUAACCUGCCCUACAGGCCAAAUGUUUGUGGUUAAGGUUUUCCCAGAAACGAUGACGAGUAUACUCAAUGUUUUCAUAUAAUGGUAUAUAAGAAGAGUGAUCUUCCACACUGGCAUCACUCAUCGCCACGUUGACACCUCUACAUUCUGUAAAGUCGACGAGCUUAAGAAUUGUCAGUCUGAAAAUGUUUGGCGAGAUGUUUUUCAACCUCUUGCAACAAUACAUCAUAAGUACAGUGAGCCACGAGAAAUUUUCAAUGCAGCAGGGAACUUCUUCAAUAGCGGUGUUUUCCAGAUAGAGCCAUUUGAUACUCUUUGAAAUCAGAGGAAAAGUUCUCAAACUUGAGCAACCACUCAGAUCAAGCAUUUUAAGAGAUGACAAGUUGACAUCGGUUGGAAGAACCUCCAGCCCUGUGCAUUCUUUCAUUUCCAACCUCACCAAUUUUUGGAGAUUCCCAAUUGUAGAAGGAACUGUCACCAAACUUUUGCAAUUAGAGAGAUAUAAAUUCACCAGAUUAGUGGCCUUUGAAAGAUCUGGAAUUUCUGUCAGGUUUCCACAUUCUGACAUAUCCAUCUCCACGAGACUUGCAAGCGACUGAAACAGAAAUUAAAAAAAAAAAUUGUUAUGCUUCAAUCACUUUCAUUUUAAUUUAAUAACUAUACACAUUUAAACAAAAUUAUAAUCAAGACAUAAUUCUGUAUGUAAAUAUAAACCGUGGAAUCACAAGCCAUUUUGACAACUUUAAUUUGGUUAUACGUAAUUAUUUACAACAGAGGUUAAACAAAAAUCAGCAAAUGCUAUAAUAUUAACAAUGUACCUGGACGCCUUCCCAUAGCUUCUCAAGCAUUUGGUUGCCUCUCACUAUGAGACGAACCAGAUCAUUUGGGCGAAAUUCACAUGGCAUACAUCUCACAAGGCAGGCGAGAUAAUCAAGACCAGGGAGAUUCUUGUUCCAUAUACAAUUUUCUACGCGGAUCUCAAUUCCAUGUGGCGAAGUAGUUGAAGUUUCCAUUUUAAACACAGGGAAAUUUUUCUCAAAUUAUCGUAAUAAAGGAGACCGAGGUACUCAAGAGAUUCCAAGUUGAGAUGAGUUGGAAAACUCUCUAGCUUUGUGCAACCCCUCAUAUCUAAAUAGAUCAGUUUAAUGGCAUUCUGAAUCGAGGAAGAAAGUGUCACCAAAGAUCUGCAUUCCGAAAGAUUUAAUUCCUCGAGGUUUCUGGCAUUAGAAAGAUCUGAAAUUUCUCUCAAAUAUCUGGAACCAUGCAUAUUCAUCCUCUUGAGGCUUCCAAGUGGCUGAAAACAAAAUAGGGAAAAACAUAAUACACACAUUCAUAAACAUUUCAAAUAGAUUAAUUUUUACCACAGGUCUGUUCUAAAAAUUGACAACUAUUUCAAUGAAGAAUUAAGUACCACAGUUCCUUCCCACAGCUUCUCAAGCUUACUUCCCAUCAUUGUGAGUUGAAUGAGGUAAUCCGCCUUAAAACUAUAAGGCAAACAUUUCAAUGGACACCUAUCCCAGUCUAGCAAUCUGAGUUUAGGGGGCAAAUAAACGAGGCUCUGAGGUAGAUCCAUAUAAUCCCCAGUAACUGAUAGACAUUGGAGAUUACGCAUGCCUUGGAACGAUUUUUCAUCUAUUGGUAAUAGCUCUUUUGAUCGGAAAGCUGUGCAGAAACGUAUUCCAAGAACUGUUUCUGUCCCCUGAAAAAAAUACGAAGUAAACUAGUAUAAUGAUAUAAUCUUUACAAUGGCAACCGUUUUUAUUUUUCUGAGACAUCAAAAGAGCUAGCCACGUUUUAAUUAAGCAGGAGAGGCAACAAUUGUUAAAGUUUAUCAAUCCCCAAAUGACGAUUAAAUUAAUAUAAAGUCAUGCAUUAAAAGGCAUCUGCUAAAAACUUACAGUUUUCUCUGUCAAUACUUCUCAGAGUAUCCUCAAAAUCCGUUAGAAAUCGACGUUUUCCAGGAUUACCCUUGGACUUUGCACGAUCAAUUUCUAUACCCAAUUUCUCUAGCAAAUUGUGCAUCUCUAUAUCUCCAUCCGGUGUAAUACGUAUGAGGGACUUCUCAACCAACAUUGUAACCCCAACAUUAUCUUCAAGUAAAUCGUUGACGUAACUGACUUCAAAACCAUUGAAUAAACACGCGAUGUAAAGGAACAUAUCUUGAUCUUUUUGAUGUAAUCUAUCGUAGCUGACUCUUAAUGUUUUCAUAAUAUCUCCGUUCAAACCAUUUCGGAACCUAGGCAUCAUCUCCAUCCACUCUUCUUUGGUCCUUCGUUUUAAAGACGAACCAAGGACACUGAGACCCAAAGGAAGAUUACCGGCAAGCACUGCAACUUCAAAUGCUAGUGCCUUAAAAUCAUCAGGUGGAGAGUUUUCCCCAAAAGCAGAUCGGCAUAACAUCUUAAGAGCAAGAUCUAGAGAUGGGAACUUCACCUCAUAUAAAAGGUCAAUAUCAUGAGCCUUAAGAAGUUGCAUAUCUUGAGUGAUCACAAUAAUUCUGCUUCCAGGUCCAAACCAUUUAGUUUCCCCCACCAAGGUCUUAAGAAACUCUGGAUCAUCCACAUCAUCAAGAACGAUAAGAACUUUCUUCUGAUUUAACAUUUGCUCCACUACACCUAACUUCCCUCCUAUCUUUAUAUCCUUACCAAGAAUUUUUGACAGAAAUAUUUCUUCCCAUUCAGACUUCAUGCUAUAGACGUGAGGUACGAAAGCGUGAAAGUGGAAUUGGCAAAAGAGUUGACUGUAUAGAGCUUUUCCUAUGGUACUCUUACCAAUCCCUGAAGGCCCCCAAAUCCCAACCAUUCUAGCUUCCUUGGAUUCCAAGCACAAUAUUGAAUUCAUUGCCUCUAAAUGAGCUUCAAUUCCGACGAAAUCGCCAAAAGAAUUCGAUGGUGAAAUAAGCUUAUUCGAAACAUCAUUAGCUAUCUUUACAACCAUGGCUGCUUCACUAGGCCUAAUAACAGUAGUCAAAUUGUGUCAAUAAAGAGGCACCCCUAAAGCACACAAUCCAAAAAAAGAAGAAGCAGAUAGCAUAGUUCAGAGAUAAUUAAAAACACACUCAGAGAUAAUGAAAUCAAAAACAAAGUACCCGUUUCGAAGAUCUUCUCCGGCUAUAUUUGUUAUGUCUACUAGAGCUUGCAUCCAUCUUUGUUUCUGAUCCUCUUCUUUGUCCUCGCAUGUCUUUUUAAAAACAUCGCCAAAUUCGCCGGUCUGUUUUCUAACUUCCGAAGGAUCAACGUCGUAAAAAACUGAAAUCACCAAUUGACCCCAAUCAUUUAAGCGAUUGUGGAUCUCAACCAAUUCAUCCAAGCACCAAGUGGAAGAAGCAUAGUUCUUAGAGAAGAUCACGAUUGAGAUCCUUGCUUCUCUAAUCGCUGAUAUUAGCUCAGGGGCUAUUGUACGGCUUCGUUCGAUGCCAUGAUCCAUGAAUGUAUUGAUUGAUCUGCGGUCGAACGCCUCGAGUAGAUUGCUGAGGAACGUCUUGCGAACAUCUACCCCACUGAAGCUUGGGAAAACAUCGUAUCUCCGGCUGCAAGAAGAAGAAGCCGCCGCCAUGGAAUAUGAUGAGGAGAAGAUAAGUACAGUAAAUCGAAUACACAGUGAUUAUUGAUUAGAGUGAUUACUGUGAGGCCGGUCCUUAAGGGUGGGAUGCGCAAGGAAACUUCUUAUUUUUUGCCCAUAGGCCAUAAAUAUAAAAAUGUAGCGAAAUGUUUGUAAUGAGGUUCGAACCAAGGCCAAUGAAGCAUUUAAAACCUGAUUUCAAGUAUUCAACCGCUCAACUACAAGUUAUGAUGCCUCUUAAAUCAAUAUUAGAUUUAUUUUGGUGUCCAAGGUCUUUGCUUAUUGUAAAAAGGACAGCUUAUCGUAAACAUGUUGAGUGGGGAAUUCAGUCUUUGUUUCCCUAUACUUACAUGCAUAGAAACUAGGAGAAUUUGUAAGUAUAUCAAUUAUGAGGAUUUUAAUUCACAUAAUAAUAUAGUGAAAACAUUAACUAUCUAGUUUGUUAAAAAAAAAACUCUUUUAGCUUUCUAGAGUUGUGUGGUGUGGUGUGGAUGGACAGUGGAGUGAAGAUUUCUAGAAACUCUCUGCGUUUUGUGUUGAGUUCUCCUCAUUUUCUCAACUCCAUCCCCUUCAAGUACCUUGACACGUACAAUUCCUGAAACAACAACACAAAAAUCUAUGUGAAUUCAGCUCUCACGAUCAUCUAUCAAAUCACUUUAUCAGUAAUUUACAUUUUAAAGUUAUAUCAUGUUCUGGACUAACAAUGAAAACCAUUUUAUGUGAUAUUUGAAUCCAUAUGCUGGUGGCAAAGAAGAACAGAGCAUUUGUAUUAUGUCACACAAAUUCAGCAAUCAAGUGAAUGGAGAGUUUAUAAGGGAUGUAAGAUGAGAUUUUACCUCAGGCAAAGAGGUUUCACGAUUGCAGCUUGGCUACUUCCCAUAAGUCUUCACUGCCUCGUAGUUACUCAAUGUCCUUUAUGUUCCUAGGAAUCACAAGGUCGUUGUAAGACGGCAAGAACGAAAAAAGAGUGGAAUCGACUGAUGGUGUAUUAUAUUUUUAUUUAUUAUUAUUAGGUCAUUGGUGCAAAUAUCUGAAGCAAACCUGCACAAACCAAUUCAGCUAAAAUAAGCACCAGAGAAAUUAGCUUUCACAUCCUAAAUGUGACAAUGACUAGCUCACUUGACCUCAGGGUCGUGAUUGAGUUUGGUGGUUGUGGCCGGUGAGUAGGACGGGUGGAAGCUGGUUUUGUAUGUAUGGGGCAGUGGUGGUGCUGAGUUAUGUUGUAAUCACUGUUUUUUACUGUGAGUGUAGGAAACGCCAUGGUAGCAGUGAUGCAUUUAAUGCUGAUGAGGUUGCUAUUUAAAAAUUUAGUUCCAACACUUUUUUGUUGUUGAUAAUUCUCUUGUGAAAUACAUUUUUCUUUACCGAAUUUAUUCAUUGAUUUAAAGAGAGAAAAAUAACCUUUGGUAACAUACACGUAGAGAGAUAUGUGUGUUUCAAAAGACAAGACUGUUAUAUUUACAUCUUUUCAGGAAAGCGAAUUUUUCAAAGAAGCAAAACAGAGAGAAGUAAGAACAGAGUGGUUCUGCUGUUCUGGACAUGGAACCAUAAAAGUUUUCUAGUUGUCAGUGCUCCAUCAUCUGCAGGAGAAAAUGGCUUGUGUGAAAAACUAAGAAAUCGUCUUGUCAUUACCAGUAUAGUCAUGGUCGAUCCCAUGUUCAUUAUAAAACAGAGUUGUAAUACGUUUCAGGUUACCUUAACAAUGUGAUAAGCUGUAGAGACGGCUAAGGAUCCAGGAAAGGAAUCUUAACAAUGUGAUGGUGUGAAUUCAGUCAAGGCAGAUCUUAACUGUUCAGGGUCAGCAGUGAAAGGUGUCGUCCCCAUCAGACCAUACGUUUUAUUUAGGCCCUUGAUGCAAAGAUCUGAAGCAAACCAAUUCAGUCAAGAACAGCCCCAGAGAAUGAGCUUCCCAUCCUAGAUGUUCUAGUGAGUAGUUCAGGCCUACAACUUUCACUCUUCUCGAUAUAAUUAAAGAGUGCAGCGGCAUAGGGGAACAGCAGCGACAUAUUUUCUCAUCGACGUAGGAUAGCUGGAUGAUACUUCAUGGUUUGGAAGUGGACCAGACAAUGUCUCCUGUAGAAAGUUUAAAAGCUCUUUCCUUCACCCGAAGGAUUGUUCCUUAUGCUGGUUACAUCUUUGGCCGAAGUUAGGCCAAAAACGCUUCUGCCUUUUGGCUAUUGAAUCAGCGGAUAUGCAAAUGUUGCUGAUUCUUGUUGUUUUCUGUACCCAAAGUCUGAUUUAUUCAUUGCUAAUAAAGAGAAAAACAACCUUUACUAACAUAAACAUUGAGAUCUAUGUUUUAAAAAGGCAAGACUAUUUUGGGUAGUACCUGCACUCAAGCAGGUACGCUCCCAAAUUCAAUGUCUUUCUUAAAAAUAGAAUAUGUUUUUACAAAACAAAACAAUGCCAAAGAUGUUUUUCCAGAAUAUGCUAAAGUAUGGCUUUCUGAAACAUUUAUUCUUUCAGGAAAAGUGAAAUGUUCAAAACAAACGCAGAGCUGGAUAAUGUAACGGACUUUGGUUCUCCUAAAGAUCUUCAUCAUCUGCAGUUAAUUAUCAUUAUCAUUAUAGUCAUAGUCGAUCCCAAGUUAUCCUAAAACAGAGUAAAACAGAAUGAUAAGAUGCUUCAGUUACCAGAAUCAGUAGACAAGAUAGGAAUUUCUUCAUCUUGUUCUUCAGUUAUCAUGUAAUCAACACACAAAGCUUCCCCCUCUAGAGAUGUUGAUGAUGAUGCUUCUCCCUGCCCUAACGAAAGCUCCAUAUUUAGAGCGGCCAAUCCUGAGUCCGCUACAAUUUGGCCAUAGGGUAAGUUGAUAUAUUCUUCAGAUGUCCCCGAUGUCAUCUGCAUUAUAAAUCAAACGAUCGAUUCUAUUAAAUAGUCUGUCCCUAUGGUGUUUCGAUCCUGAAAAAUCAAACCAAAAGUCAAAAGAUAGCUUUAUAAUUUUCAGCUCUAAUCAAAAGUCAAAAGAUACCCCCAUCCGCUUCUCGCUUCUCGUAGUCUGUUGGUUGUACUCUGUUUCUUGAUAGACAUACAAGAGUCGUACACCGCAUUCUUUGAUCCUAUUGGAGCAACAAAAUUUAAACUCCAUUCAGACCAGAUCUUGAAGGAACAGAAAAACAGAUGAUCCGUCUUACAAAACUGCAGGUCUGCAUCUUCAAAAAAUGAUUUCUGAUACUGUUUGCCAUUGAAGCCAACAUUUACCUUCAAGGAUGGAUAAAAACCCUUGCCCUCGGAGGGAGGUUCAACCACGACGCAAGCCUUAAAUGGAAAGAAGUAUUGAGAAAGAGAGCUCUGAGGUAAAGUGACAGUUAGGGAAUCUCCAUAAGCUCGAUACGUGAAAUACUUAGGGAUUUCUCCACCUGGUAAGGCCACAUGCUUGAAGCAUGAUCGUAGGAUAAGUUCUCGCGCAUCUCUUUCCAAUUUGAAGCAAUUGCAGAAGCUAAAGGAUUCCCUACGUAAGCGCCAAUCUACGACGUAGUUCUUAUAAUCAUCAUCAUACAACGCAUCCCAGAAACGUUCACAUGUAUAUUCAAUGUUUUCAGAUAAUGGUACACAAGAAACGUGAUCUUCCAUUGUCGCUACCACAGUUGCAUCACUCAACGCCUUGAUGACACCUCUACAGUCUGUAAAGUCGGCGAACAUUAGACUUCUCAGUCUGAAAAUGUUUGGGGAGAUGUUUUUCAACCUCUGGCAACAAUACAUCAGUAGUACACGGAGCCUCGUGAAAUCCUCAAUGCAGCAGGGAACUUCUCCAAUGGCGGUGUUUUCCAGAUAGAGCCAUACAAUAUUAGUUGAAAUCAGAGGAAAAGUUCUCAAACUUGAGCAACCACUGAGAUCGAGGAUACCCAGAGAUGACAAGUUGACAUCGGUUGGAAGAACCUCCAGCCCUGUGCAUCUUUUCAUGUACAAACGUCUCAAAUUUUGAAGAUUCCCAAUUGUAGAAGGAAGUGUCACCAAACUUUUGCAGUUGUUGAGUAUCAAAGACUCGAGCUUGGUGGCCUUUGAAAGAUCUAGAAUUUCUUCAAUGGCGGUGUUUUCCAGAUAGAGCCAUUUGAUACUCUUUGAAAUCAGAGGAAAAGUUCUCAAACUUGAGCAACCACUGAGAUCGAGGGUUUCGAGAGAUGACAAGUUGACAUCGGUUGGAAGAACCUCCAGCCCUGUGCAUUCUUUCAUUUCCAACCUCACCAAUUUUUGGAGAUUCCCAAUAGUAGAAGGAAGUGUCACCAAACUUUUGCAGUUGUUGAGAUAUAAAUGCUUCAGAUUGGUGGCCUUUGAAAGAUCUGGAAUUUCUGUCAGGUUUUCAGAUUCUGACAGAUCCAUCUCUUCGAGACUUCCAAGCGACUGAAAAAAACAUUAUCGAUGAUAAUCAUUUUAAUUUUAUACCUAUAUAUGUUUAAAAUUAUAAUUAAACAUUAUUACGUAUGUAUGUAAGACAUAACCGUGGAUCGACCACAAGCCAUAAAAACAAAUUUGGGUAUACUUAAUUAGUUAUAUAACAGAAGGUAAACAAAAAUCAGCAUAGCAUUAACAAUGUACCUGGAUGCCUUCCCAUAGCUUCUCAUGCUUGUAGCACCUCACAUUGAGAAAAACGAGAUAUUCUGGGCGAAAUUCACAAGGCAUACAUCUCAUAAGGCAGUCGAGAUAAUCUAGUCCAGCAGGGAGAUUCUUGUUCCAGAAACAAUCUUCUACCACGAUCUCAUUUCUCCCUUCCGGAAAGUCAACGUCUGAACAUCCCAUUUUGAUUGCUGGGAAAUUUCUCAAAUUCGGGCAUCCAGUGAGAUUGAGGUACUCGAGAGAUUCCAAGUUGAGAUCGGUUGGAAAACUCUCUAGCUUUUUGCAAUCACUAAUAUCUAAAUAGAUAAGUUUAAUGGCAUUCUGCAUCGAGGAAGGAAAUGUCACCAAGGAUUCGCAUUUACAAAUAUCUACUUCCUCGAGGUUUAUGGCUAAAGAAAGAUCUGGAAUCUCUUUCAAAUAUUUGGAACCACGCAGAAACAUCUGCUUGAGUCUUCCAAGUGGCUAAUAACAAAAUAGGGGAAAAGAGAGUACACACGUUAGUGAACAUUUUAAACAGAUUCAUUUUAGUUUUUCUAACAGAUUUAUGUUUAGAAAUUGAUCACUAAUAGAAUUAGUACCUGAGUUCCAUCCCACAGCUUCUCAAGGUCACUAUUCUCCAUUCUGAGUUUAACCAGAUACUCAACCUUAAAAUUAGAAUGCAAACGCUUCAAUGGACAAUUAUUCCACAAUAGCAAUCUGAGUUUACUAGGGAAAUAAACGAUGCCCUGAGUGCCUUCCAUACGUGAGCAAUCAACUGAUAGAUAUUCGAGAUUACACAUGCCUUCUAAUGAUUUUAAAUCUAUUAAUAGCACCCCCGAACAAUAUAACGUCCUCAGUUUAAUGGCAUUCUGAAUCGAGGAAGGAAGUGUCACCAAAGAUUCGCAUUCAGAAAGAUUUAAUUCCUCGAGGUUUAUGGCUAAAGAAAGAUCUGGAAUUUCUUUAAAAUAUUUGGAAUACCACAAAUUCAUCUUCUUGAGACUUCCAAGGGGCUGAAAACAACAUAUGGAAAAAGAGAAUACACACGUUCACAAUUUUUUUAAAACAGAUUCAUUUGAAGCUUUUCUAACAUAUAUAUGUUCAUAAAUAUACCACAGUUCUAUUCUAAAAACUGACAACUAAUAAAAUUUAUAAUUCGUACCAGAGUUCCUUCCCACAGUUUCUCAAGCUUACUAUUCUUCAUUAUGAGUUUAACUAGAUACUCCGCCCUAAAAGUAGAUGGCAAAGACUUCAACGGACAAUAAACCCAUUCUAGCAAUCUGAGUUUAAGGGGCAAAUAAACGAGGCUCUGAGGUAGAUCCCCAUCUGACCAAUAACCAAUUUCUAGAUAUUGGAGAUUACGCAUGCCUUUGAAUAAUUUUUCAUCUAUUAAGAACGACCUUGUCGUAAGAUAUCCCGGGUGUGGCAAACGUAUUCCAAGAAGAAUUUCUGUCCCCUGAAAAAAAAUCCGAAGAAAACUAAUAUAAUCUUAACAAUCGCAACCUUUUUUUAUUUUUCUGACACAUCAAAGCUACGUUUUAAUUACGCAUGAGGCAACAAUUGCUUAAGUUUAUCAAUCCCCAAAUUACGAUUAUACUAGAUAUUGACCCGCGGUGUACCGCGGGUGGAUAUGUUCAUAGAAAAGUUAUACAUAUUUUUUAUACGAAUUAUUAUUUUUAUAUAAAUAAUAUUUUCUUAACACAUAAUUUUUAUUUAUGUAAAUCUUGGAUAAUUCAUGUUUUAUGUUCUCAUAUUUGUUAGUUUAAUAUUAAAAUUCAGUAUUUGUUUUUUUGGUUUGGGUUUUUUAGAGAUAAUAAAGAUCUAAAAUUCAUGUUUGGGGUCGAUAUUUUUAUCAGAAAAUUAAAUAUUUUUAUUUUAAUUAAUAUUAUUUAUAUAUAUAAUAUAUUCAAGAAGUACAUCAAAGGCCUAUAUUUUUAUUAAAUAAAAAAUAAUAUUUUUGUCUUUAAAAUGAUCUAUAGAUAUAUGCUAUUGUUUUUUUAUGUAUGAUACUAUGAUACACCUCUGUAUGAUUUUUAUAACUAAUUUUUUUUAAAAAAAUUAAAAUUUUUUUUAGUGUUUAAAAUUGUAUAAUUGUAUUUUGAUUGUUAAUUUUAGGAUUUCAUCCAUAGUAUAUCAUCCCGUAUCAAUAUCGAUCCAAACUCAUCCCACCAUAUAACCUCGUCCCGUGAAAUUAAAACUUCAUAAAAUUUUAAAAUCAUUAAUAUUUUAAAAAAAUUUAUAGACUUUAACUUUUAAAAAAGUUUAAAAAUUUGUAAUACUUAACUUUUAAUAAAGUUUCAAAAUAUAUAAUAUUUUAAAACUUUAAAACUUUUACUUAUUUAAAAUAAAGAACCAAAGUAAAACGAAAGCUCCUGCUCUUUCGUUUUCAGAAUCACUUUGGUCUUUUUUAUAGUAUAACUCUUAACGAUUUCCUCAUUUUUAAGCAAUGUGAGACCUUUAAAACUUAUUUUUUUUCAUCGAUGGAGUAUUAUAUGUUUGUUUUAAGAAAUUUAAAUUUCAUCAGAUGCAAAAAAAAUCUAAUAUUUUAUUAACUAUAUGUAUUUUAUAUAUAAAGUAAAAAAAAAUAGAUAUAAAAACAAAUAUAGUGACAGAAAAAUUAUAUAUUUAUAUUUAAUGUCGAUAUAUAGAUUUUAGAAAAUUAGCCUUAAUCGAAUAUAGUUCAAUAAAGAAAGAUUUAGUUAAGGAUAAAAAUUUAGGAAAGAGUUAAUUCAACUAAUUAAUGCAAUUAAGCUAAUUGUAAUUUUUUAGUUAUAAAGUAUUUGAUUGAGAUUAAAUUUGUAAGGACUAAUAUUGAAAAUAGUAAAUAGGUGAGGGAUUUUUGGCCAAAAACCCUACCAAAAAUGUAUAUGUAGAUUGACAUAAAGUCAUGCAUUACAACGUUUAAGGAGAUGCGAAAAACUUACAGUUUUCUCGGCCAAUACUUCUUGAAUAUCCUCAAAAUUUGUCAGAAAUUGACGUUUUCCAGGAUUACCCUUGGACUUUGCACGAUCAAUUUCUCUACCCAAUUUCUCUAGCAAAUUGUGCAUCUCUAUAUCUCCAUCCGGUGUAAUACGUAUGAGGGACUUCUCAACCAACAUUGUAAGCCCAACAUCAUCUUCAAGUAAUUCUUUGACGUUACUGACUUUAAAACCAUUGAAGAAACAUGCAAUGCACUUAAAUAACUCUCUAUUUUUUUUAUUUAACCUAUCGUAGCAGACUCUUAGUGUUUCCUCAAUUUUAUCAUCUGAGUCAUUUCGAAGCCUAGGCAUCAUCUUCACCCACUCAUCUUUGUCCCUUCCUUUUAGAGAUGAACCCAAGACACUGAGACCCAAAGGAAGACUACCAGCAAGCUCGGCAACUUCAAAUGCUAGUGCCUUAAAAUCAUCAGGUGGAGAGUCUUUCCCAAAAGCAUAUUGGGAUAUCAUCUGAAGAGCAAGACCUUGAGAUGGCAGCUUCACCUCAUAUACAAGGUCAAUCUCAUGAGCCUUGAGAAGUUGCCUAUCUUGAGUGAUCACAAUUAUUCUGCUUCCAGAUCCAAACCAUUCAGCUUUUCCCACUAAGGUCUUAAGAAACUCUAGAUUAUCCACAUCAUCAAGAAGGAUAAGAACUUUUUUGUGCUUUAAUCUUUGCUCCACCACACCAAAAUGAUCUAUCUUUAUGUCCUUUUGACCUAAGAUUUCCGAGAGAAGUUCUUUUUGCCAACUCAACUUCAUGCCAGAGACGUCACUACCGCUGGUGCUUUUGUAAGUUACGAAAGCGCGAAGGGGGAAUUGGCUAGAGAGUUGACUGAAAAGAGCUCUUCCUAUGGUACUCUUACCAAUCCCUGACUGUCCCCAAAUCCCGACCAUUAUUUUAGCUUCUUUGGAUUCCAAGCACAGUAUUGAUUUUAUUGCCUCUAUAUGAUCUUCAAUUCCGACUAAGUCACCAAAACCCUUUGGCGGAUGAAAAAGUUUAUUCGAAACAUCAUUGGCUAUCUUUUCAACCAUAUGCGCAUCAUUAGGCCUAAUAACAAUAGUCAAAUGUGUCAAUAAAGAGGCACCCUUAAAAGCACAUCCAAGUCUAUGCAAAAAAUAUUGUAUAGUUCUACGAUAAUUAUAAACACACACAUAAUUCAAAAAAAAACACACACAUAAAUAAUGGAAUCAAAACAACAUACCCGUUCCGAAGAUCCUCCCCGGCAAUAUUUGAUAUAUCUGUGAGAGCUUUAACCCAUCUUUGUUUCUGAUCUGCUGGUUUGUCCUCGCAUGUCUUUUUAAAGACCUUUCCAAAUUCACCGAUCUGUUUUCUAACAUGAGAAGGAUCAACGUCGUAGAAAACCGGUAUCACCUUUUGUCCAAAAUAUUUAGAGCAAUUGUCGAUUUCAACCAAUUCAUUCAAGCACCACGUGGAAGCAGCAUAGUUCUUAGAGAAGAUGACAAUUGAGAUCCUCGCUUCUCUAAUCGCCGAUAUAAGCGCAUCGGCGAUUAUGCAGCUUCUCUCGAUGACGUGAUCCAUGAAUGUAUUGAUUGAUCUGCGAUUGAGCUGCUUAAGAAGAUGGCUGAGGAAAUUCUUGCGAACAUCUUCCCCACUGAAGCUUGGAAAAAUGUCGCUGCCAGAAGAAGAAGCUGCCGCCAUGAAAGAUGAUGAGUUUGAGAUAGAAUAUCUUUAAAAGAAGUAAAUCAGCAAUACAUAAUGAUUAGUGUGCAGGAAGAGGAGAAAUCGUGCAUAGAAGACUUAUGCUGUGCGAAACGGAGUACCUUAUAUUCGCUGGGAAACGUGCUGUUAUGUACAAGAUUAGUAAUUUUUUAGUGGUUAAUAUCAAAUCUCCUAACAAGAGUAGGGUGACGACAGGCACAAUUAAGAUAAUAAAUAACUAGAUAACACAGAAACUUCGCCUUUCAUUCGUCGAAGAGUUGCAUAGAAGACUUAUUAUACAAGAUGUUUAUUUUACUGGUUAAAAUCAAAUCCCUUAACAAGAGAGUAUGGUGAGACACACCUAAUAUAUAAUAACAAUUUAACACAGAAACUUCGCCUUCCUUUUCUUGAAGAUUUGCAUAGAAGACUUUGUUCAAGAUAUAUUUUUUUAGAGGUUAAUUGAUAUCAAUUUUCCUAACAAAGUAUGAUGUAUUAAGACAUAAUAAUAACUUAAUAAGACAGAAACUUCGCCUUUCUUUCGUUGAAGACUCGCAUAGAAGACUUGCUAGUUGCUAUACAAGAUAUUUAUUUUACAGGUUAAAAUCAAAUCCCCUAACAAGAGACUAUAGUGAGAGACACAAUCAAGUUAUAACAAAUUAACACAGAAACUUCCUUCCUUUCCUUGCAGGCUUGCAUAGAAGACUUACUGUACAAGUUAUAUUUUUGUAGUGUAUGAUGACAGACACAAUAAUAAAUACAAAGAAACUUCGCCUGGCAUAGAAGACUUACUGUACUUCUAGUGGUUAAAAUAAAAUCGCCCUGAAAGAACUCAUAACUUUUUAGGCUACGUCAGCCGAGAAAAUUGCGACAGGAGAGGCGACUAGGGUUUUUUUCUUUUGCCGCACGCGAAGGGUUCCUAGCAGUCAGCCACCGAAUCUAUGUUCAGAAGGAGAAAGGGAAUUAUACAACGAUGUUCCAUCGCCAUGAAAUUUGCUUGAAGAAACUGAUAACAGUAGUAUCAUACUUAUAGAAGAAGACAUCUGGAAAGUUCCAAAUUUGGAGCCGUCAAGCUUGUGUUUGCUACUGUUUUACCACAGAGUAAGUUGGAAGGUUCUUCAUAUGUUCUUACCGUAAUCUGCAUAAUAAAAUCAAAUCUAUUAAAUUCCUUUGGUCUAUUUUGCAGGUGAUCCUGAAAAUGAAUCAAGAGUUAGAUAUGUAAUUUUCCGUUCAAUAAUUCAAAGCUUCACCCGCUUUAGCUUCUUGCUUCUCCCAUUGACUAUGUCACUUUCUCUAGAAUGUUGGUUGUUCUCAGUUUGAGCGCUCGUACCACUACCAUCCUCAGAUGGAGAGGCAUCUAAAUGCCGUACGCUGAAUUUUUUUAUCCUCUUAAACGACAAGUUUGCGUGUCGUGGUCAAGCCCAAAUUUGACACAAGAACAAGCAUUGCUAUGAUAUUCAAACUUGAAUUUCACAUCGUUGUAGUCCAAUUCAUAUGGAUAACCAAAGACUUCUUCUGAAGGGCAAAACUCAGAGCGGAACACAACCAUAAUGUACUAGGUAAGAUUUUUGAAUUAGAUUGUGCUACUUUGAAUUCCGAUGGUGUUUUUUGCAGCGUUCUAUUCUUCUAAUCAUUAUAUACUUUGUAAGAAAUAAGUAGUUUAUAAUCAAUUCUUUGCGAAAAAAUUAGUAUAGCAAGCAAAAUAAUUUACGUUACUAGAUUUCAAAUCCCAAUUUGAGCGGGAAGUCCAUCUAGUUUGAAGCUAAAAGGCUUUAUGACAAAUAUACUCUAACAAGCUUGCAGGCCAAGCAAAUCAUAUUAGAAGCAAAAGAAAGGUCGAGAAAAUAUCUUAGGAACAUCAUUAAUGAAUGAGUUUAAGGAGAAUGUUACCUGGAUUACUUCCCAUAACUUCUCAAGCUUGCUACCUGGCAUUGUAAGCUCUGCGACACAUUCUGCAUGACAUUUAGACGGUAAAUAUUUUAUUGGACAAUCAAUCCAAACGAGUUCAGUGAGACCAAAGAUAUUCCCAAUAAAGAAACAAUCUAUGUCUUCUCUGAUUGCAGUUUCGUUUAGAUGGAGCUCUGAAAUGUUCUUUGAAAUUCGAGGGAAACAUCUCAAACUUGAACAUCCCCUGAGAUCGAGGUGUACUCUAGAGAUUCCAAGUUAACGCCGGUUGGGAGAACUUUUAGAUUUUUGCAUCCUUGCAUUUCCAACCGCCUCAGUUUAUUGAGAUUCCGAAUUGAAGAAGGAAGCAUCACUAAACUUUUGCAAUCGUUAAGUUCCAAGUGGUCAAGAUUGAUGGCCGUUGAAAGAUCUGGAAAUUCUUUCAGGUUUUCACUUCCUGACAAAUCCUUCCUCACCAGACAGACUCCUUCCCACAACUUCUCAAGCUUGCUAUUCUCCAUUGUGAGUUUAAUCAAAAUUUCAGCCCUAAAAUUGAAACACAUACUCGUCAACGGAUAUUCAUCCCAAUAUAGCAAUCUGAGUUUUCGGGCCAAAUAAAUGAAUCCCUGAGGUAAACACAAUCUGCUUUCACCAGUCUCUAGCGAUCGACAACUCCUUGUAAAAUUUUAGAAAUGUGAGAUUACACAUUCCUUUGAAGAUUGUCCAUUUACAAACAAUCUAUUUCUGAGAUUACACUCAUCGAUUUCUGUUGUGUUGAAAGACAUGCCUAGCACAUUUUCAGUUCCUGAAAAAAAAACAUUAGUAUUUUACAACGGUCACAAUAAUCUAUUACGUUAUAGAUGACUCUCUUCGAUUCAUAUGGAGUAGUGUACUCAAACAUGAAAAUCAACUGACCCACCUUCCUUCUUAGUGGGUCCGCCACUGAUCAACAAGCAAGUUCUUGAUAUAAUCAACUUUUUGAUCAUUAAGUAAACACGCAAUGUAAAGGAAGACUUCUUCUUACUCCUUCAUUGUGCCUUCUCAGAACAGGUUUGGUUUCUGGUUCUUCACAGACUAGGAUUACCACAAUGUACUUUUGUUGAUUGGUCUACUGUCAUCACUUGGCUCCUGACCAAAUCCCCUUCCCUAUCAAAUGCUUUGAAACGCAUUUCUGCCCAAGCCACUAUCUACCUGCUCUGGCGAGAAAGGAACAAUCGCUUACACAAUGAUCUUUCCUCUUCGGUCUCUGUGAUCUUUGGUCAGAUUGAUAGGAAUAUAAAGGAUACUCUUCUUGCUCGUCAGUACAGGAAAGGUUGUGGGAGACUUCUAUCCCAAUGGUUUUCUUAUAGUUAACAUAUCUAUUCUAUUGAUCGAUGUUUCAAUCAUGGCUUUUUAAUUUUUUUUGGGCCUUUGAAACUGGCUGCCUUUUGGCAUUGUAAAUAACAUUUCCACUUUCCUUCUAAGGUAAUAUAUAUUCACAAGUUAUCAAAAAAAAAAAAAAAAGGGAAGACUUCUUUAUCUUUGUCAUCUAACUUAUCGUAGCUGACUCUUAAUGUUUUCUCAAAUUUUCCGUCUAGACCAUUUCGAACCCUAGGCAACAACUCCAUCCAUAGUCCUUGUCCUUUCCUCUUAAUGAAGAAACCAAAAGAUUGAGACAUAAAGGAAGAUUACCGAAAAGUUUUGCAACUUCACGAGUUAAAUUCACGAAACCAUCUGGUGGAGCGUUUUGCCCAAAAACACAUCGACAAAACAUUUGUAGAGCCAAAAUUAUAUUUCAGAUGGAAAAUUCAGUUCAUAAACAAGGUCAAUCUUAUGAGACUUGAAAAAGUUUUUUUUAUCUUUACUUAUCACAACAAUUCUGCUUCCAAUCCCAAACCAUCCAGUUUGUGCCACCAAGGUCUUUAAUAGCUCAAGAUCAUCAACAUCGUCAAUAAUUAUAAGAACUUUCUUGUGCUUUAACCUUUGUUCCACCGCACAUAAAUGCAAAACCUUUAUGUCCUUUUGACAUAAAAUUUCUGAUAAAACCUGUUCUUCUCGGUUGGUUUAUAAGUUACGAAAGCGCGAAGGGGGAAUUGGCUAGAGAGUUGACUGAAAAGAGCUCUUCCUAGGGUACUCUUACCAAUCCCUACCAUUCUAGCUUCUUCAGAUUCCAAGCACAACAAUGAACUCAAUCUCUCUAAAUGAGCUUCAACACCAACGAAAUCACCUAAAUCACUCGAUGGUGUUAUGAGCUUAUUCGGAACAUCGUUGGAAAUUGUUUCAAUCAUGUUUGCUUCAUUACACCUAAAAAUCAAUACUCAAAUGUCAGCAAUGAACACUACAAUCGGAGUCUUAAGCCUAAUCAAACAAAAAUUUGAAAAAAAAAAAUACCAGUUUCGAGAAUCCUCUCCAGCCAUAUUUGCCACAUCUGCUAGAGCUUUCCUACACCUUUGUUUCUCAUCAUCUGUUUUGUUCUUGCAUGUCUCUUCAAAGACCUUUCCAAAUUCUCCGGUCUGUUUCCUAACAUCAGAAUGAUCAACCUCGUAGAAAAUCGGAGUCACCAUUUGAUCCAAGUUUUUAAAGCACUUGUGGAUCUCAACCAAUUCAUUCAAGCACUAGGUGGAAGAAGCAUAUAUACUUGUUAGAGAAGACGACGAUUGAGAUCCUCGAUUCUCUUAUAGCCAAUAAAAGCUCUGGGCCGAUUGGGCGGCUUCUCUCGAUCUCAUGGUCGAUGUGUAUUGAUUGAUCUGCGAUCAAGCUUCUUAAGUAGAUGGAUGAUGAAUGAAUUACGGACAUCUUCAUCGCUGAAGCUCGGAAAAACGACGUAUCUCUUGCUGCGAGAAGAAGAAGAUACUCUAAACCUCGACAAUGACUAUACGACUGGGGAUGAGAUGGAUCUGGAUGAGGAGAAUGAAGAUGAAGAACAAGCAGGCCUAGAUUCACUUGCUAGUACAGCUAAUAACAAGGUGAAAGGUAGACGUAGACGUAAGCGUUUCAAAGUGCUUAAUAAUUAGAGAUAAUUUUAGUACCACAAGGAUAAUUUUAGUACCAUUGGAACUAAACUGGAAGAUCAUUAUGAGUGAUGUGCAAUGCAAAUACUGCAAUCAUACUUAUUGCUUAGACCUACGUAGAAGUGGUACAACUACUAUGUUGCGUCACAUGAGAGUUUGCUCAAAGACUCCUGGAAGUACACCUGCAACUGGAAUAAAAAGCUUGAUAUGAUGGUGUUUAGGGAGAUGAUUGGAUUAGAUUAGCAAUAAUUGAGCAUGAUUUGCCUUUUUCUUUUGUUGAGGACAAAAUAAUUAGAGAGACAUUUCUCUAUGCUAAUUCUAGCAUAUAAUUUUGGAGUAGGAACACCGCAACUUUUGAUUUCAAGUAUUGGACCGAGCUAAUGGACAUGGACAGUCCAUUUCGACAGCUCUAGCUUUGGAUGAGACUUGAUGGUUUGGAAUUGGAGUUGACUCCUUCACAAAGUUUUAAUAGUUCUUCCUUGCAUGACACGGAAAAGGCUAUCUCCUUUUUUCACCACCUGAAGGGUUGCUUCUUGUACUGGUCACAUGUUUGGCCGAGGUUAAGUCACACGCUAUUGAAUCAGCGAUCCAACACUUUUUUUUUUUUUUGUUGUUGUUGUUAAUUCUCUUGUGAAUUUGCAAUAUACAAUUUUGUUUACCCAAAUUCUAAUUUAUUCUUUGCUUUAAAACAAAAAAAAACUUUGCUCACAUACAUGUUAUCAUUAUCGUCGAGAUAUAUGUUUUUUUAAUAAAGACAAAGACUAUUUUGGGUAGUACCUGACCUGAGUCAAGUAUGUAAAACCCUAAGAUCACAAAUUCAAUGUCUUUUCGACUAAAACAGAUAAACAGUACGGUACAAUACAAAACAUCCCAAUGAUAUCUUUCCAGAAUAUAAUGUGCUAUGGCUUUUUGAAAGAUGUAUUUAUUCUUUUAGGAAAAGCAAAAUUCUCAAAGAAGCAAAGACAGAUAAGUAAGAACAGAGUGCUUCACUUUCAGCUAAAGAAGAAAUUACAAACAUUUUCAUCAGGCUCCGGAGUUGGAGACCUAAAUGGAUUCUAGACUUCUGGUUCUCCAAAAGCUCUCCGUUACCUGAAGAAAAGAUGGCUUGCGUUAAAGCUAUGUAAUCGUCUUGUCAUUAUCAGUAUAGUCAUGGUCAAUCCCAAGUUGAUCCUAAAACAGAACAAAACAGAACUGGAAGAUGUUUUGAUUACAUUAAAAAGUUGAUAAGCUCUGGGAACAACGAAGGAUCCGCGGUAGGUGUUUCUAUAUAUUGUUGUUCAGUUAUCAUUGGAUCAAUACACAAAACUUCUUCCUCUAGACAUGGUUGGGAAAGACACAACGAUGCUCCAUCAACAUGAACGUUGCUAGAAGAAACUGAUGAAAACCUGGGUGGAAGAACUCCCCUGCCAAUAACGAAAGCUCCAGAUUUGUAGCGGUCAAUUCUGUGUCCGCUUCUAUUUGGCCACUUGGUAAGUUGAUAUAUUCUUCAGAUGUUCCUAUUAUCAUCUGCAUUAUAAACCAAACUAUCUAUCCUACGAAACUGUUCAUCCUCCAAAAAAAUCAAGAGACAGCUAUGCAACUUUCAGAUCAAAACUGGCAAAAGGCUUACCCGCAUCCGCUUCUUGCUUCUCCCAGUCUCUACUACAACAUCAACUUUUUCUACAGACUAUUGGUUGUCCUCUUUUUCAGGAGAGACAUUCAAAAUUCGUACACCGCAUCCCUUUAUGCUCUCCUUGGGAAUAAACACAAAUUCCAAAUUGUUGUCUGAUUUAGAUGGAACGUCUAUAGGCGGGAACUUGAAGGAACCCAAAACCAUAUGAUCCGUAUUACACAACGUCAUCGUACCAUGAAAUACUGUCUCCCAAAUAUGUAGGAACUUCUCCACCUGGUAGGACCGUCUUGACGUAUGAUCGUAGGAUGAGUUCCUGCGCAUCUCCAUCCAAUUUGAAACAAUUAAGGAGAUAGAAAUAUUCUCUUCUCAUCAAGUCGGCCAUUUGAUGGCCGUGCUUGUUUAAAUUUACUGUCAAUGGUUUCUAGGAAAUGCGAAAGCGUUAAAGAAGCAACCACAAGGAUGUAAGAACAGAGUACUUCUGCCUUCAGCCUUCAGCUAAAGAAGAAAUUGCAAACAUUAUCAUGCUCUGGAGUUGGACUCUUUAACGGAUUCUGGUUUUUUUUAAGUAGUAACCCCUGCAGGAAAUUAUUGCUUUGAUAAGCCAAACUCCACUAAGAGCUUGAUGCGCUUGAUGAGCUUGAUGACCUGUCCAACAAGCAAGAAAAGAGUCAAUGUUGAGAGUUGAAAGUAUAUAUAGAGUCUCUAAUCUCUGAGAGGUUAUUCAAUUAGUGAAUUGGUGUGUUUGUUAAGACUCCUGCAUGAGUCUCUUGGGUUGAGGAUUCAGAGCCCGAAACUCUGCAAUUCUCUUCAUUGUGUGACAGAUUCUUUGAUAGAUCAAUAAAAGAUUGCUUGUUUAUUCUUGUCAAGCUUGUGUGAAAAACCUAUGAAAUCAUCUUUUCAUUAUCACUAUAGUCAUGGUCGAUCCCAAGUGAUCCUAUAACACAAAAAAAAAACAGAAUAGUAAGAUGUUUCAGUUACCAUAACUCCCACUCCCAAUCCACAUUAGCUAUAUGAAUUUGUGCAUCUUGUUGUUCAGUAAUCAUGGAAUCAACACACAAAGCUUCCCCCUCCAGCCAUGGAUUAAAAGAAACUGAUGAUGAUUCUCCCCACCCUAACGGAACAGUGUCUGUUACUAUUUGGCCACAGGGUAAGUUGAAAUAUUUUUCAGAGUUUCCUAAUGUCAUCUGUAUAAUAAACCAAAAGAUGGAUUCUUUUAGAUAGUUCAUCCCUGAAAAAAAACAAUCAAGAGAUAGCUUUAAUAGUUUUCAGUUCAAAAUAAUGGCAAAAGGCUUACCCGCAUCCGCUUCUUGCUACUUUCAGUCUCUACAUCAUCACAUUUUUCUCCAGACUGUUGGUGGUACUCUGUUACAGAGUCUCCAUCACUAUCAUCCGGAGAUUCUGUUUCAGAGCUUCCCUCACUAUCAUCCGGAGAUGUAGACACAUUCAAGAGUCGUAUGCCGCAUCUUUUUACUCUCGUCCCGUUAAACUUAAAUUCCACAUCAUUGACGUCUAAUUUAGAUAGAAGACCUGUAGGCUGGAACUUGAAGGAACACAAAACUAGAUGAUCCGUCUUACACAUCAUUUCCAUGCCCUCAUAUAUUGUAUGUCUAUAAUGUUCGCCAUUGAACUGAAAGAGUACGUCCAUGCAUGCAAAAGAAUGGGUUAUAGGUUCAACCACGAGACAAGCAUUAAAUCGCAAGAAUUUAUGAGAAAGAGAGCUCUGAGGCAAAGUGACAGUUAGGGAAUUUCCAUAAGCUUGAUGCUUAAAAUAUGUAGGCACUUCUCCACCUGGUAAGACCAUAGUCGUCUUGAAGCAUGAUCCUAGGAUAAGUUCUCGCGCAGCUCUAUCCAAUUUGAAGCAAUUCUGGAAUUUAAAAUAUAUUUCUCCAUACUCAUCCUCGUCAUCCUCAUCCUCGUCAUACUCAUACUCAUACUCAUCCUCGUCAUCCUCAUCCUUGUCACAUUUAGGUCUCUUUUCGACCUUAUUUAUCUUUUCAUUGUUUUGAUCUUCCAUUGUUGUCACCGGAUCACUCAACGCUGUGAUGACACCUCCACAGUCUGUAAAGUCGACCUUCAUAAGCCUUGUCAGUCUGAAAAUGUUCGGGGAUAUGUUUUUCAACAUUUUGCAACCACUCAUAUUUAGUACCUUGAGCCUCGAAAAUUUCUCAAUGAAGCAGGGAACUUGUUCAAUGGCGGUGUCAGCUAGAUUGAGUUCUUGAAUACUAGUUGAAAUCUGAGGAAAUCUUCUCAACGACUUGCAACCACGCAUCGAUAAUUCCAUGAGCCUCGAGAAAUUCUCAAAACAUGGAACUUCUUCAAUGGCAGUGUCAUCUAGAUUGAGUACUGCAAUACUUUUUGAAAUCUGAGGGAUAAAUCUCAAACUUGAGCACCCUUUGAGAUGGACUGUAUGGAGAGAUGACAAGUUGAUAUCCAUAGGAAGAACCUUCAGCCCUGUGCAUUCUUCCAUAUUUAACGUGUAUAAUUUUUGGAGAUUCCCAAUUGUAGAAGGUAACAUCACCAAACUUUUGCAAUUUGAGAGAUCCAAAAUCUCCAGAUUGGUGGCCUUUGAAAGGUCUGGAAUUUCUAUCAUGUUUUCACAUUCUGACAGAUCCACCCUCUUGAGUUUCCCAAGCGACUGAAACAGAGUAAAACAUUGUUAUGCUUUUCUUUUUUCUGAAUGUAAAACGUUGUUAUGCUUUAAUCAUUGUCAAUACUAUAUCUGUUUAGUGUUAUAAUCAAGAACAAGACAUAAUUUUGUAUAUAAUACACGUAUAAAUCGUACCUGGACGCCUUCCCAUAGCUUCUCAAGCAUGUUGUUGCCUCUCACUGUGAGGUUUUUGAGAUGUUCUGGGCGAAAUUUACUUGGAUUACAUCUCCUAAGGCAAUCGAGAUAAUCGAGUCCAGGGAGAUUCUUGUUCCAUAAACAAUCUGCUACCUCGAUCUCAAUUUCAUCUGUAAAGAUGAAACUUUGCAUUAUAAUCUCAGGGAAAUUUCUCAACCGGGGGCAUAGUAGGAGAUUGAGGAACUUAAGAGAUUCCGAGUUGAGAGGACUUGGAAAACUUUCUAGCACUUCGCAGUUACAAAGAUCUAAUUCCUCGAGGUUUGUGGCUAAAGAAAGAUCUGGAAUUUCUUUCAAAUUGUUGGAAUUCCUCAAAUUCAUCUUCUUGAGACUUCCAAGAGGCUGAAAACAACAUAUGGAAAAAGAGAAUAACACAGAUUUAUUUAGAUUGUUUAACAAAUAAAUUAAUAAAAAUAACACAGUUCUGUUUUCAAAUAGACAACUCGAAACAAUAAAGAAUUAGUACCUGAGUUCCAUUCCACAGCUUCUCAAGGGCACUAUUCUCCAUUCUGAGUUCAACCAGAUACUCAGCCUUAAAAUUAGAAGGCAAACGCUUCAAUGGACAAUUUUCCCACCGUAGCCAUUUGAGUUUACGUGGCAAGUAAACGAGGCCGUUAGGUAGACGCAAUCUGGUUUCUCUCGGUUGCCACCAGUAAUGAUCAUGAAUAUUUAGAAAUUGGAGAUUAAGCAUGCCUUGGAACGAGUUUUCAUCUAUUGAAAUAAAUGGCUUAUCGAUUUGUGAAUCUGAUGACGUGCUGAAAUCUAUUCCGAGCAAUUUUUCAGUGCCCUGACAAAAAAAAAAAACCCAAAGAAAACUGUUAUCCUCAAGUACCAAACUAAAUCAAUGUUUUUAACAUCAAAAGCCAAUCGUUGAAUUAAUAUAAAGUGGUGCAUUAAGCUGCAAAAACUUACGGUAUUAUCGGUAAAUACGUCUAGAAUUUCCUCAGCAUUCUCCAGAAAUCGACGUUUUCCAGGAUUACCAUUAGACUCUUCACGAUCAAUUUCUGUAGCCAACUUCUGAAGCAAAUUGUGCAUCUCUAUAGUAUCAUUCGGUGUUAAACGUAUGAGGGACUUAUCAUCCAACGUUUUGAGCCUAAUGUUAACAUUAACACCAUCUCCGAGGAAGUCUUUGAUGGAUUUGACUUUCCAACCAUUGAAUAACCAUGCAAUGUAAUGGAAUAUAUCUUGAUCUUUUGGAUCUAAUCUAACGUAGCUGACUCUUAAUGUUUUCAUAAUAUCUCUGUUCAAACCAUUUUGGAGCUCAGCCAGCAUCUCCAUCCACUCUUCUUUGCUCCUUCGUUUUAAAGACGAACCAAGGACACUGAGACCCAAAGGAAGAUUACCGGCAAGCUUUGCAACUUCAAAUGCUAGUUCCUUAAAAUCAUCAGGUGGAGAGUAUUUCCCAAAAGCAUAUUGGCAUAUCAUCUUAAGAGCAAGACCUUGAGAUGGGAGCUUCACCUCAUAUAUAAGGUCAAUCUCAUGAGCCUUGAGAAGUUGCCUAUCUUGAGUGAUCACAAUUAUUCUGCUUCCAGAUCCAAACCAUUCAGCUUUUCCCACCAAGGUCCUAAGAAACUCUAGAUUAUCCACAUCAUCAAGAAGGAUAAGAACUUUCUUGUGCUUCAACCUUUGCUCCACCACACCAAAAUGCUCUAUCUUUAUGUCCUUUUGACCUAAGAUUUCCGAGAGAAGUUCUUUUUCCCAACUCAACUUCAUGCCAGAGACGUCACUACCACUGGUGCUUUUAUAAGUUAUGAAAGCGCGAUGGUGGAACUGGCUAGAGAGUUGACUGAAAAGAGCUCUUCCUAUAGUACUCUUACCAAUCCCUGACUGUCCCCAAAUCCCGACCAUUAUUCUAGCUUCCUUGGAUUCCAAGCACAGUUUUAAUUUUAUUGCCUCUAUAUGAUCCUCAAUUCCGACUAAGUCACCAAAACCCUUUGGCAGAGGAAAAAGUUUAUUCGAAACAUCAUUAGCUAUCUUUACAACCAUGGCUGCUUCACUAGGCCUAAUAACAAUAGUCAAAAUUGUGUCAAUAAAGAGGCACCCCUAAAAGCACAAUCGAAGAUUCGAAGUGAACGCCAAGAAAAGAAAAAAAAAAGUACAGUUUUGCAAUAAUUAUAAACACUCAUAGAAAUAGUGGAAUAAAUAAAACAUACCCGUUCCGAAGAUCCUCCCCGGCUAAAUUUGAUAUAUCUGUGAGAGCUUUAACCCAUCUUUGUUUCUGAUCCUCUGGUUUGUCCUCGCAUGUCUUUUUAAAGACAUCGCCAAAGCCACCGAUCUGUUUUCUAACAUGAGAAGGAUCAACGCCGUAGAAAACCGGAAUCACCAUUUGAUCCAAGUCUUUGUCCUUGUGACACUUGUGGAUCUCCACCAAUUCAUUCAAGCACCACGUGGAAGAAGCAUAGUUCUCAGAGAAGAUAACUAUUGAGAUCCUCGCUUCUCUAAUGGCCGUUAUAAGCUCAUCGGCGAUUAUGCAGCUUCUCACGAUGCCGUGAUCCAUGAAUGUAUUGAUUGAUCUGCGGUCGAGCGCCUCGAUUAGAUGGCUGAGGAACGUUUUGCGAACAUCUACCCCACUGAAGCUUGGGAAAACGUCGUAUCUCCGGCUACUAGGAGAAGAAGAAGAAGAAGAAGAAGAUGAGCUCAGGGUCGUGGUGGAGGUCGGUGGUUGUGGCCAGUGGGUGGGAAGGGUGGAAGCUAGUUUGUAUGUAUGGGGCUGAGGUGGUGCUGAGUUAUGUUGUAAUCACUGUUUUUUACUCUGAGUGUAGGAAACGCCAUGGUAGCAGUGAUGCAAUUGUUGCUGAUGAGGUUGCUAUUUAAAACUUUUUUGUUGUUGAUAGUUCUCUUGUGAAAUUGUGAAAUACAUUUUUGUUUACCAAGAUUAUGAUUUAUUCAUUGCUUUAAAGAGAGGAAAAUAACAUUUCGUAGAGAGAGAUAUGUGUUUCAACAGACAAGACUGUUAUAUUCACAUCUUUCAGGAGAAGCGAAAUUUUCAAAGAAGCAAAACAGAGAAGUAAGAAUAGAGUACUUCUGUUCUGGACAUGGAACCAUAAAAGGUUUCUAGCUGUCAGUAAGUGUUCCAUCAUCUGCAGGAGAAAAUGGCUUGUGUGAAAAACUAAGAAAUCGUCUUGUCAUUACCAGUAUAGUCAUGGUCGAUCCCAUGUUCAUUAUGAAACAGAGUUGUAAUACGUUUCAGGUCACCUUAACAAUGUGAUAAGCUGUGGAGACGGCUAAGGAUCCAGGAAAGGAAUCUUAACAAUGUGAUGGUGUGAAUUCAGUCAAGGCAGAUCUUAACUGAUCAGGGUCAGCAGUGAAAGGUGUCGUCCCCAUCAGACCAAACGUCUAUCAUCUUAGGCCCUCGAUGCAAAGAUCUGAAGCAAACCAAUUCAGUCAAGAACAGCCCCAGAGAAUGAGCUUCCUAUCCUAGAUGUUCUAGUGAGUAGUUCAGGCCUACAACUUUCACUCUUUAUCAUAUAAUUAAAGAGUGCAGCGGGAUGGGGGAACAGCAGCGACAUGUUUUCUCAUCGACGUAGGAUAGCUGGAUGAUACUUCAUGGUUUGGAAGUGGACCAGACAAUGUCUCCUGCAGAAAGUUUAAAAGCUCUUUCCUUCAGCUGAUGGAUUGUUCCUUAUGCUGGUCACAUCUUUGGCCAAAGUUAGGCCAAAAACGCUUCUGCCUUUUGGCUAUUGAAUCAGCAAUGCAAAUGUUGUUGAUGACAAGGAUCUUGCUAUUUAAAAUUAGUUCCAACACACUCUUGUUGUCAAUUCUUUUGUGAAUUUGCGAUAUACAUUUUUGUUUACGCAAAGUCUGAUUUCUCUAUUCAUUGCUAAUAAAGAGAAAAACAACCUGUGCUAAUAUACACAUUGAGAUCUAUGUUUCAAAGAAAAGGCAGACAAAAUGUUCAAAGCAAACAGAGUGUUUCUGCAUUCAGAUAAAGAAGAAAUUACAAACACUUUCAGGCUCCGGAGUUGGAUGAUUAAACGGAAUUUGGUUCUCCAAAUAUCAUUCUGCAGAAUAAAAUGAUCUCCAUGUACCAUCUAUCAAUAAAAAAUGGCUUGUGUCAAAACCUAUGAAAUCGUCUUGUUAUCAUUAUAGAUAUAUAAUCAUGGUCGAUCCCAAGUUAUCCUAAAACAGACCAAAACAGAAUGAUAAGAUGCUUCAGUUACCAGAAACAGGAUCCAAGAAAGGAAUGUCUUCAUCUUGUUCUUUAGUUAUCAUAUAAUCAACAGACAAAGCUUCCCCCUCUAGAGAUGUUGAUGAUGAUGCUUCUCCCUCCCCUAACGAAAGCUCCAUAUUUAGAGCGGCCAAUCCUGUGUCUGCUACAAUUUGGUCACCGGCUAAGUUGAUAUAUUCUUCAGAUGUUCCCGAUGUCAUCUGCAUUAUAAAUCAAACGAUCGAUUCUAUUAAAUAGUCUGUCUCUAUGGUAUUUCGAUCCUGGAAAAUCAAAUCAAAAGUCAAAAUAUAGCUUUAUAAUUUUCAGCUCUAAUCAAAAGUCAAAAGAUACCCGCAUCCGCUUCUUGCUUCUCGUAGUCUGUUGGUUGUACUCUGUUUCUUGAGAGACAUACAUGAGUCGUACACCGCAUUCUUUGAUCCUAUUGGAGCAACAAAACUUAAACUCCACAUCGUUGAAAGUCAUUUCAGACUCGAACUUGAAGGAACAGAAAAACAGAUGAUCCGUCUUACAAAACUCCAGUUCUUCAUCUUCCAAAAAUGAUUUCUGAUACUGUUUGCCAUUGAAGCCAAAGUUUACCUCCAAAUAUCGAUAAAAACCCUUGCCCUCGGAGAGAGGGUCAACCACGAGACAAGCCUUAAAUCGCAAGAAGGAUUGAGAAAGAGAGCUCCGAGGUAAAGUGACAGUUAGGGAAUCUCCAUAAGCUCGAUACGUGAAAUACUUAGGGAUUUCUCCACCUGGUAAGGCCACAGGCUUGAAGCAUGAUCGUAGGAUGAGCUCUCGCGCAUCUCUAUCCAAUUUGAAGCAAUUACGGAAGCUAAAAUAUUCAGUACCUAAGUCCCAAUCACCAUCACCAUACAACUCACCCCAGAAACGUUCACAUGUAUAUUCAAUGUUUUCAGAUAAUGGUACACAAGAAACGCUAUCUUCCAUUGUCGCUACCACAGUUGCAUCACUCAACGCCUUGAUGACACCUCUACAGUCUGUAAAGUCGGCGAACAUUAGACUUCUCAGUCUGAAAAUGUUUGGGGAGAUGUUUUUCAACCUCUGGCAACAAUACAUCAGUAGUACACGGAGCCUCGUGAAAUCCUCAAUGCAGCAGGGAACUUCUCCAAUGGCGGUGUUUUCCAGAUAGAGCCAUACAAUAUUAGUUGAAAUCAGAGGAAAAGUUCUCAAACUUGAGCAACCACUGAGAUCGAGGAUACCCAGAGAUGACAAGUUGACAUCGGUUGGAAGAACCUCCAGCCCUGUGCAUCUUUUCAUGUACAAACGUCUCAAAUUUUGAAGAUUCCCAAUUGUAGAAGGAAGUGUCACCAAACUUUUGCAGUUGUUGAGUAUCAAAGACUCGAGCUUGGUGGCCUUUGAAAGAUCUAGAAUUUCUUCAAUGGCGGUGUUUUCCAGAUAGAGCCAUUUGAUACUCUUUGAAAUCAGAGGAAAAGUUCUCAAACUUGAGCAACCACUGAGAUCGAGGGUUUCGAGAGAUGACAAGUUGACAUCGGUUGGAAGAACCUCCAGCCCUGUGCAUUCUUUCAUUUCCAACCUCACCAAUUUUUGGAGAUUCCCAAUAGUAGAAGGAAGUGUCACCAAACUUUUGCAGUUGUUGAGAUAUAAAUGCUUCAGAUUGGUGGCCUUUGAAAGAUCUGGAAUUUCUGUCAGGUUUUCAGAUUCUGACAGAUCCAUCUCUUCGAGACUUCCAAGCGACUGAAAAAAACAUUAUCGAUGAUAAUCAUUUUAAUUUUAUACCUAUAUAUGUUUAAAAUUAUAAUUAAACAUUAUUACGUAUGUAUGUAAGACAUAACCGUGGAUCGACCACAAGCCAUAAAAACAAAUUUGGGUAUACUUAAUUAGUUAUAUAACAGAAGGUAAACAAAAAUCAGCAUAGCAUUAACAAUGUACCUGGAUGCCUUCCCAUAGCUUCUCAUGCUUGUAGCACCUCACAUUGAGAAAAACGAGAUAUUCUGGGCGAAAUUCACAAGGCAUACAUCUCAUAAGGCAGUCGAGAUAAUCUAGUCCAGCAGGGAGAUUCUUGUUCCAGAAACAAUCUUCUACCACGAUCUCAUUUCUCCCUUCCGGAAAGUCAACGUCUGAACAUCCCAUUUUGAUUGCUGGGAAAUUUCUCAAAUUCGGGCAUCCAGUGAGAUUGAGGUACUCGAGAGAUUCCAAGUUGAGAUCGGUUGGAAAACUCUCUAGCUUUUUGCAAUCACUAAUAUCUAAAUAGAUAAGUUUAAUGGCAUUCUGCAUCGAGGAAGGAAAUGUCACCAAGGAUUCGCAUUUACAAAUAUCUACUUCCUCGAGGUUUAUGGCUAAAGAAAGAUCUGGAAUCUCUUUCAAAUAUUUGGAACCACGCAGAAACAUCUGCUUGAGUCUUCCAAGUGGCUAAUAACAAAAUAGGGGAAAAGAGAGUACACACGUUAGUGAACAUUUUAAACAGAUUCAUUUUAGUUUUUCUAACAGAUUUAUGUUUAGAAAUUGAUCACUAAUAGAAUUAGUACCUGAGUUCCAUCCCACAGCUUCUCAAGGUCACUAUUCUCCAUUCUGAGUUUAACCAGAUACUCAACCUUAAAAUUAGAAUGCAAACGCUUCAAUGGACAAUUAUUCCACAAUAGCAAUCUGAGUUUACUAGGGAAAUAAACGAUGCCCUGAGUGCCUUCCACACGUGAGCAAUCAACUGAUAGAUAUUCGAGAUUACACAUGCCUUCUAAUGAUUUUAAAUCUAUUAAUAUCACCCCCGAACAAUGUAACUUCCUCAGUUUAAUGGCAUUCUGAAUCGAGGAAGGAAGUGUCACCAAAGAUUCGCAUCCUUCAAGAUCUAAUUCCUCGAGGUUUCUGGCAUUAGAAAGAUCUGGAAUUUCUUUCAAAUUUUUGGAACACAACAAAUUCAUCUUCUUGAGACUUCCAAGGGGCUGAAAACAAAAUAUGGAAAAAGAGAAUACACACGUUCACAAAUAUACCACAAUUUUCUGUUCUAAAAACUGACAACUAAUAAAAAUUUAGAAUUCGUACCAGAGUUCCUUCCCACAGUUUCUCAAGCUUACUAUACUUCAUUAUGAGGUUAACUAGAUAUUCCGCCUUAAAAGUAGAUGGCAAAGACUUCAAUGGACAAUCAUCCCAGUCUAGCAAUCUGAGUUUAAGGGGCAAAUAAACGAGGCUCUGAGGUUGACCCCCAUCUGACCAAUCACCAAUUUUUAGAUAUUGGAGAUUACGCAUGCCUUUGAACGAUUCUUUAUCUAUUAAUAACGGCCUUGUCGAAAAAUAUUCCUCGAAUGGCAAACGUAUUCCAAGAAGAGUUUCUGUCCCCUGAAAAAAAAUCCGAAGAAAACUAAUAUAAUCUUAACAAUCACAACCCUUUUUAUUUUUCUGACACAUCAAAGCUACAUUUUAAUUACGAAUGAGGCAACAAUUGCUUAAGUUUAUCAAUCCCCAAAUGACGAUUAAAUUAAUAUAAAGUCAUGCAUUAAAACGGAGCUGCGAAAAAAACUUACAGUUUUCUCGGUCACUACUUCAUGAAUAUCCUCAAAAUUCGUCAGAAAUUGACGUUUUCCAGGAUUACCCUUGGACUUUGCACGAUCAAUUUCUCUACCCAAUUUCUCUAGCAAAUUGUGCAUCUCUAUAUGUCCAUCCGGUGUAAUACGUAUGAGGGACUUCUCAGACAACAUUGUAAGCCCAACAUUAUCUUCAAGUAAAUCUUUGACGUAACUGACCUCAAAACCAUUGAAUAAACACGCAAUGCAAAGGAACAUAUCUUGAUCUUUUUGAUGUAAUCUAUCGUAGCUGACUCUUAAUGUUUUCAUAAUAUCUCCGUUCAAACCAUUUCGGAGCCUAGGCAUCAUCUCCAUCCACUCUUUUUUGCCCCUUCUUCUUAAUGACGAACCCAGGACAUUGAGACCCAAAGGAAGAUGGCCGGCAAGCUUCGCAACUUCAAAUGCUAGUUCCUUAAAAUCAUCAGGUGGAGAGUCUUUCCCAAAAGCAGAUCGGCAUAACAUCGUAAGAGCAAGACCUUGAGAUGGCAGCUUCACCUCAUAUACAAGGUCAAUGUCAUGAGCCUUGAGAAAUUGCCUAUCUUGAGUGAUCACAAUAAUUCUGCUUCCCGAUCCAAACCAUUCAGCUUUUCCCACCAAGGUCUUAAGAAACUCUAGAUUAUCCACAUCAUCAAGAAGGAUAAGAACUUUCUUGUGCUUCAACCUUUGCUCCACCACACCAAAAUGCUCUAUCUUUAUGUCCUUUUGACCUAAGAUUUCAGAGAGAAGUUCUUUUUCCCAACUCAACUUCAUGCCAGAGACGUCACUACCACUGGUGCUUUUAUAAGUUAGGAAAGCGCGAAGGGGGAAUUGGAUAGAGAGUUGACUGAAAAGAGCUCUUCCUAUGGUACUCUUACCAAUCCCUGAUUGUCCCCAAAUCCCGACCAUUCUAGCUUCCUUGGAUUCCAAGCACAAUACUGAUUUUAUUGCCUCAAUAUGAGCUUCAAUUCCGACGAAGUCAUCAAAACACUUUGACCGAGUGAUAAGUUUAUUCGAAACAUCAUUGGAUAUCUUUUCAACCAUAUGCGCUUCAUUAGGCCUAAUAACAAAAGUCAAUUUUGUCAAUUAAGAAGCACCCCUAAAAGAAGAACCGAAGUCUAUGCAAAAAUAUAGUUCUGAGACAAUUGAAAACGCAAGCAGAUAUAUUGGAAUCAUAACAACGUACCCGUUCAGAAGAUCCUCUCCGGCUAUAUUUGCUAUAUCUGUGAGAGCUUGCACCCAUCUUUGUUUCUGAUCCCCUGGUUGUUUGUCCUUGCUGACCUCGCAUGUCUUUUCAAAGACCUUUCCAAAUUCGCCGGUCUGUUUUCUAACUUCCGAAGGAUCAACGUCGUAGAAAACUGGAAUCACCAUUUGACCUAAAUCAUUAAAGCACUUGUGGAUCUCAACCAAUUCAUUUAAGCACCACGUUGAAGAAGCAUAGUUCUUAGAGAAGAUGACGAUUGAGAUCCUAGCUUCUCUAAUCGCCGAUAUAAGCUCAGGGGCGAUUGUGCGGCUUCUCUCGAUUCCAUGAUCGAUGAAUGUAUUGAUUGAUUUGCCGUCGAGCGCCUCGAUUAGAUGGCUGAGGAACGUCUUGCGAACAUCAACCCCACUGAAGCUUGGAAAAACGUCGUAUCUCCGUCUGCCAGAAGAAGAAGAAGCCGCCAUGGGAGAUGAUAGAGAGAACUCAGAGAAGAGACGAAGAUUUUUAAGAGAAGUAAAUCAGCAAGACAUAGUGUGAGAAAGAGAGGAGAAACUUCGUCUUCCUUCCCUCCAAGACUUGCAUAGAAGACUUACUGUACAAGAUAUUCUUUUAAGUGGCUAAAAUCAAAUCUCCUAACAAGACAAUUGAGACGUAAAUAAUAAAGAAACUCGGCCCUUCCUUUCCUCGAAAGCUUUUUUACACUACAUACAAAGAUAUUUUUGAAGAUUGAAUUUUUGUGGUUGUCACUGAAUUAUGAUAAGUCUUAGUCUUUGUACAAGACAGAAAUAAUAUUUCAAUUUCUAGGCAAGUAGACAGAAACUUACAUUCGUUUCCUCUACAAAGAUAUUUUGAAAACACAAAUUUUGUGGUUAUCAGUUGUCCUUGUACAAGACAGUUUAUCGUAAGAAUGUUAUGAUUGUUUAAUAUCUAAGUCUUGUUUCCCUAUACAUACAUGCACACGGUUUAGGAGAAUAAGUAUAUCGAUUAUGAGGAUUUUAAUUCAAAUAAUACAGUGAAAAUACUAAUUAACACUAACUCUCUAGUUUGCUAAAUUACUCUUUUAGUUUUCAAGAAUUGUAUUAUUAGUUUAAAGUUUGGCUUAGUGCGUCAGCCACCACUGUAGUUUUAAGGAGCAUUUGGUUUCUAAGGGUUUCAUGUACUGGAUGGAAGAACUCGUGUCUGAGAACAUCCUCUGCGCUGUUUCGUUGCCUUGGGUUAACGGUCAAACAUCUAUCCACGAAGUCAAGGAGCGGCCGUGGAAUUGCGUCUAGAAACUCUCUGCGUUUGUGUUGAGUUCACACCAUUUUCUCAACUCCAGCCCCUUGAAGUACCUUGACUCGUACAAUUCCUGAAACAACAACACAAAACUCUACGUGAAUUCAUCUCACACGAUCAUCUAUCUAAUCAUUUUGUCACUAAUUUACAUUUUAAAGAUAUAUAAUGCUAACGAUGAAAACCCUUUUGUGAUAUUUGAAUCCAUAUGCUGGUGGCAAAGAAGAACAGAGCAUGUAUGUUAUAUUCAAACCAAUGCAGCAAUCAAAUAAAUGGAGAGUUUUAUCAGGGAGGUAAGAUGAGAUGUAACCUCAGGGAAAGAGGAUUCACGGUUGUGCAGCUUGGCUACUUCCCAUAAUUCUUCACUGCCUCGUAGUUGCGCAAUGCCCUUUAUGUUCCUGGGAAUGACAAGGUCGUUGUAAGACGGCAAGAAAGAAAAAAGAGUGGAAUCGACUGAUGGUGUAUUAUUUUUUUUUUCUAUUAUUAGGUAAUUGGUACAAUAUCUGAAGCAAACCUGCACAAACCAAUUCAGCUAAAAUAAGCACCAGAGAAAUUAGCUUUCACAUCCUAAAUGUGAUAAUGACUAGUUCACUCCUACAAUUGUAGUCUCAGCUCUCAAUGCACAAGUUUAUUAUAUAUGGAAUUAAUUACUAACAUACACAUUGAGAUGUAUCUGUGUUUUUAGAAAAGUCAGGACUAAUUUAAAAACAUUAACUAAUUCAAUGUCUUUUAAACUUAUCCAUAGAUGUAAGGAAACAUACAAAAUCUGUCAAAAAUACUUUUCCAGAAUGAGCUAAAUUGUGGCUUUCAAAACAUGUAUUUAUACGAAAGCCUUAGAGAAGUAGAUACAAAGAUGUAAGAACAGAGUACCAUGCUCUAGAGUUGGAGACUUAAAAAGGCACCAGCGACGAAGAGCUUGAUGAGCCUGAUGAGCCUGAUGACCUAUAAAAGAAGAAAGAACAGAGUCAAAGAGUCAACAUUAUAACUAAAUAUUGAGUCUUUAAAGUAUAUAUAUAUAGAGAGAGAGUCUCUAAUUCUGUGAGAGAUUGAUUAUCCAAUCAGUGAAUUGGUGUGUUUCAGAGCCUGAAACUCUGCAGUUCUCUUCAUUAUAAUUCAGGUUAUUUGAUAGAUCAAUAAAGAUUGCUUGUCUUGUUAUGCUGCAACAAAACAAAACAGAAUAGUAAGAUGUUUCAGUUACCAUGAUGCCUCAGAAUCUUCGUCCCUAUGCGCGAUGGGAAUUUCUUUAGCUUGUCGCUUAGUUAUCAUGGAAUCAACAGAGAAAGCUUCACCCUCCAGACAUGGAUAUGAAAUUGAUGACGAUUCUCCCCGCCCUAAUGGAAGCUCCAGAUUUGGAGCGGUCAAUCCUGUGUCUGUUACUGUUUGGCCACAGGGUAAGUUGAAAUCUUCUUCAGAGUUUCCUAAUGUCAUCUGUAUAAUAAACCAAACUAUCGAUUCUUUUAGAUAGUGGCCUUCCUGAAAUAUUAAAAAGAAAAUCGAGAGAUAGCUUUAAUAGUUUUCAGUUCAAAUUAUGGCAAAAGACUUACCCGCAUCCGCUUCUUGCUACUACUCUCAGUCUCUACAGCAUCACAUUUUUCUCCAGACUGUUGGUUGUACUCUGCUUUAGAGCUUCCAUCACUAUCAUCCGGAUAUGGAGACACAUGCAGGAGUUGUACGCCGCAUCCUUUGAUCCUCCUCCCUUUAAACUUGAAUUCCACAUUAUCCAAGACCUUUACCUUUGGAUAUAGAGUAUUUUUAAACUGCCGGAACUUGAAGGAACACAAAACCAGAUGAUCCGUCUUACACAUCAGUGUCAUAUCAGUAGCUAUUGUAUGGAUAUAAUGUUCGCCUUUGUAUUGGAAGUAUACAUACACACUCCCAUAAGAAUCGGUUUGAGGUUCAACCACUACACAAGCAUUGAAUCGCAAAAAUUUGUGAGAGAGAGAUCUCCGAGGUAAAGUGAUAUUUACGGAAUUUCCAUAUGCUCGAUGCUUGAAAUAUGCAGGCACUUCUCCACCUGGUAAAACCAUAGUCUUCUUGAAGCAUGAACGUAGGAUGAGUUCUCGUGCAUCUCUAUCCAAUUUGAAGCAAUUCUGGAAGUUAAAAUAGUUUCUUCCAUACCAAUAAUUAUCUUCAUCCUCAUCCUCCUCCUCAUCAUCCUCCUCCUCAUCCUCGUCCUCAUCCUCAUCAUCGUCAUCGUCAUCUUCAUCCUCCUCAUCCUCAUCCUCAUCCUCAUCCUCGACAUCGGUAUUCUCGUUAUACUCAUCCUCAUCCUCAUUCUUGUCAUAACUCAUCCUCAUUCUCGUCAUCCUCAUUAUAGUCAUCCUCAACAUCAUCGUCUCGUGUACGCAUCUUUUCAAUCUUUUCAUAGUGAUCAUCCAUUGUUGCCACCACAGUGGAAUCACUCAACGCCGAAAUGACACCUCCACAGUCUGUAAAGUCGACCUUCUUAAGCCAAGUCAGUCUGAAAAUGUUCGGGGAGAUGUUUUUCAACUUUUUGCAACCACUCAUAUUUAGUAUCUUGAGCUUCGAAAAAUUCUCAAUGAAGCAAGGAACUUGUUCAAUGGCGGUGUCAGCUAGAUUGAGUUCUUGAAUACUAGUUGAAAUCUGAGGAAAUCUUCUCAACGACUUGCAACCACGCAUCGAUAAUACAAUGAGCCUCGAGAAAUUCUCAAAACAUGGAACUUCUUCAAUGGCAGUGUCAUCUAGAUUGAGUACAGCAAUACUUUUUGAAAUUUGAGGGAAAAAUCUCAAACUUGAGCACCCUUUGAGAUUGACUGUAUGGAGAGAUGACAAGUUGACAUCCAUAGGAAGAACCUUCAGCCCUGUGCAUUCUUUCAUUUCUAACGUGUAUAGUUUUUGGUGAUUCCCAAUUGUAGAAGGUAACGUCACCAAACUUUUGCAAUUUGAGAGGUUCAAAUUCACCAGAUUGGUGGCCUUUGAAAGAUCUGGAAUUUCUAUCAGGUUUUCACAUUCUGACAGAUCCAUCCUCUCAAGUUUCCCAAGGGACUGAAACAGAGUAAAACAUUGUUAUGCUUUUCUUUUUUUUAAUGUAAAACGUUGUUAUGCUUUAAUCAUUGUUGAUACUAUAUCCGUUUAGUGUUAUAAUCAAGAACAAGACAUAAUGUUGUAUAUAUUACACGUAUAAAAAUCGUACCUGGACGCCUUCCCAUAGCUUCUCAAGCAUGUUGUUGCCUCUCAGUUUGAGAUUAACGAGAUGUUCUGGUAGAAAUUUACUUGGAUUACAUCUCCUAAGGCAAUCGAGAUAAUCUAGUCCAGGGAGACUCUUGUUCCAUAAACAAUCUGCUACGUCGAUGUCAAUUCCAUAUGGGGAAAUUUGCAUUAUAGUCUCAGGGAAAUUUCUCAACUUGGGGCAUCGUAGGAGAUCGAGGUACUCGAGAGAUUCCGAGUUGAGAGGACUUGGAAAACUUUCUAGCACUUCGCAAUCAGAAAUAUCUAAUCUCUCGAGGUUCAUGGCAUAAGAAAGAUCUGGAAUUUCUUUCAAAUAUUUGGAAUUACGCAGAAUCAUCUUCUUUAGGCUUCCAAGUAGCUGAAAACAAGGAAAGAGAGAAUAACACACAUUUAUAAACAUUUCAAACAGAUUUAUUUAGAUUGUUUAACAAAUAAAUUAAUAAAAAUAACACACUUCUGUUUUCAAAUAGACAACUAAAACAAUAAAGAAUUAGUACCUGAGUUCCAUUCCACAGCUUCUCAAGGUCACUAUUCACCAUUCUGAGUUCAACCAGAUACUCAGCCUUAAAAUUAGAAGGCAAACGCUUCAAUGGACAAUUAUCCCACCAUAGCCAUUUGAGUUUACGUGGCAAGUAAACGAGGCCGUUAGGUAGACGCAUUCUGGUUUCUCUCGGUUGCCACCAUGAAUGAUCAUGAAUUUUUAGAUAUUGGAGAUUAAGCAUGCCUUGGAACGAGUUUUCAUCUAUUGAAAUAAAUGGCUUAUCUAUUUGUGAAUCUGAUGACGCGCUGAAAUGUAUUCCGAGCAAUUUUUCAGUCCCCUGACAAAAACAAAUCCCCAAAGAAAACUAUUAUCCUCAAGUACCAAACUAAAUCAGUUUUUUUCUGUCCUUUUUAACAUCAAAAGCCAAUCGGUGAAUUAAUAUAAAGUGGUGCAUUAAGCUGCAAAAACUUACGGUAUUAUCGGUAAAUACGUCUAGAAUUUCCUCAGCAUUCUCCAGAAAUCGACGUUUUCCAGGAUUACCAUUAGACUCUUCACGAUCAAUUUCUGUAGCCAACUUCUGAAGCAAAUUGUGCAUCUCUAUAGUAUCAUUCGGUGUUAAACGUAUGAGGGACUUAUCAUCCAACGUUUUGAGCCUAAUGUUAACAUUAACACCAUCUCCGAGGAAGUCUUUGAUGGAUUUGACUUUCCAACCAUUGAAUAACCAUGCAAUGUAAUGGAAUAUAUCUUGAUCUUUUGGAUCUAAUCUAACGUAGCUGACUCUUAAUGUUUUCAUAAUAUCUCUGUUCAAACCAUUUUGGAGCUCAGCCAGCAUCUCCAUCCACUCUUCUUUGCUCCUUCGUUUUAAAGACGAACCAAGGACACUGAGACCCAAAGGAAGAUUACCGGCAAGCUUUGCAACUUCAAAUGCUAGUUCCUUAAAAUCAUCAGGUGGAGAGUAUUUCCCAAAAGCAUAUUGGCAUAUCAUCUUAAGAGCAAGACCUUGAGAUGGGAGCUUCACCUCAUAUAUAAGGUCAAUCUCAUGAGCCUUGAGAAGUUGCCUAUCUUGAGUGAUCACAAUUAUUCUGCUUCCAGAUCCAAACCAUUCAGCUUUUCC